GGAACAGAAAGUUCAGCAAACCUGAAAGUGUAAGAAACAGCUCAUGGAGGAGCUUGAAGGCCACAGAAGGAUACUUGCAUUUUGUUUUUACUGCCAUAAAGAACAAUUGGAGAGUUUCUUGCAGGUGAGUUACACAAUCUGUCUUUAUAAAGAGAAUUUUGGCUGCUGUGUGAGCUGAAGGGGGGUACAGCUCUGUGGGGGAGUAUGCAGUUAGCAUGAAUGAGGCCCCAGAUUCCAUCCCCAGCAUCCCAACAUUCCCACUCAUCAUAUGUCAUUCUGGCUGUUGUGUGCAGAAUGAAUGCAUUAUCAGGGAGUUGGAAGCAAGAGGGAAACAGGAAGCUCUUUGGGGGCAAGUGCAGUUACUCAAGUGAGAGAAAGGUCUGACUUGAUCCAGCGGUUUGAAGUGGACAGACAGAGGCAUGGACAGGUUGGAAAUAUAUUUGGGCUGUUGAGCCAACAGGAAGUGCUCUUAUAUGAACUCUUAUAUUGGAUAAGAGUUCAUGAAAGGGAGAUAUGGAGGCUGACUCUCAGACAAGGGGUUUGAGCAACGGCAGUGAGAUGCGGAAGUUUGAGGAGCUUCAGAUCAGGUGGGUGUUGCAAUCAACAAUUCUGUUUAAGUUUGAGACGACUAUUAGCUAUAAAAGCUGAAUUGUCAAGCAGGUAGUUAGACACUUCAGGGUGGAGGUUGGCACAAAGUUCUGCAUGACAGAUAUAAAUUGAGAGCUGUCAGAAUAUAGAUUGGACUGGGUACACUCACUUAAGGAAUGAGUAUAGAUGGAGAAGAUGUCUAGGUGGAGGCUUGAGAUUAGGGUUUCUAGAAUUAGCAAAUAAAAAUAGAAGAUACUAAGUUGAAUUUGCAUCUCAGAUAAGAAAUUAACACUUAAAAAAUAUGUUCCAUAAAUAUUUUUAAAAAUCAUUUGUUGUUUAGGAUAUGCAUAUGCUUAAAAAUCAUUUGCUGCUUAUCUGAAACUCUUAUUUUAUUGAGCAUCAUUGUAAUUUAUUUGGCAACUCUAUUUCUGUGUUUAGAUGACAAGCAGAGAAGGAAAAGAAAAGGCAAUGUGUGGCUGUGUAGCCAAUUUCUCCAGAACGCAGCCUCAUAAAAUAAUGCCUUAUUAUGCUCACAGAUUCUGUGGGUCAGGAAUCUGAACAGGGCGUAGUAGGUAUGGCUUGCCUCUGCUCCAUGAUGUCUGGGGCCUCAGUGAGAAGACUGGGAAGCUGGACACUAGAGUCAUCUGGAUAUUUGUGGACGCACAUGUAUGAUGAUGGAUGCUGGGCAGUUGGUUGUCAUUUUAGUUAGGGCCAUCAGCUGGAGCCUCUCCAUGUGGCCUCUGUAUGUGACCUGGGCUUUCUUCCAAUAUGGUGGAUGGUUUCCAAGGGUGAAAAAGAAAAGUCCGGGGAGGGGGGGCGGGAGGGAGAGAGAGAGAAGAAAGAAGAAAGGGGAGGAUGGAGAGAAUGACCCAAUCAGGUAGAAACUGUAUCAUUUUUAUGACCUAGCCUCCAAAGUCCCAUAACACUACUUCUACCAUACCCCAUUGGUCAGUGCAGGCACAAGUUCAAGAGGAGGGAAAAUCUUUACAUCCUUGACAGGAAGCAGUAAACUUCCAGGAGAGCUUUUGAGGCUUCUAUACUUCCUGUGUUCAGUCUUCUGAUCCCAGAGCACUCUGCCUCAGGCCAGUGCAGUAGGAAAAAAUCAGGAGAGUGAAAGCUAAGAGGAGACACUGUCUCAAGAAGGAGGGAAUGGGGAGCUGAGGAAAGGAUGCCCAGUGCGUGGAUGCACGUGUGUGCACCCCCUGUGGCUUGUGGGGGUGACAGGCAAGGUCUGGAGAGGGUGGGUGUGAAUGAGGAGGAUACACGUGUGCUUGUCUUGGUCAGUGUAAGAGAAAGCUUGCUAAUGAGAAAUAUAGUGAGAAGAGAGAUUGCACCUGUGGCCAGGCUGGCGCAGCGACGGUGGAGAGAGCAAAGCCCGGCAGGGUAUGGGGGCUUGGUGAAGACUGGCAGGGAGAGGAAAUGGAAAAGGAAUGGCUGAGUGGCAAGGAAAAUGGAAGCACAGAACCCAUUGAGGAGUGUCUUUGAAAUGUGUUUCAUGGGGCCUUAAGAUAAUUAUUCUAAGGAAAUAUUCCUAAGAAUGAAUAAUGCUAACAUUUUGUGGCGCUAAGAGGGAAAAAGUGCUCUGAAUGCUCCCUAAGUUUUCCAUUAUCUUUUAAAAAAUGUUCCCAAGCCUAGGGAAUAAUGCUACACAGCAUGUUUUUCUUCCUCUUGGCCUUGAGAAGUAAUUUUCAAUGUUGGCUGAUGUGUUUUGCGGUGUAAUUGGUCCUCACAUGCAGCUUGUGGCAUCAAAUUCAAGGUCCCCAGGAAUACAGCUUAAAGAAGGGAGCUAAGGUGAGUGAGCCCUGCCCACGUGGAGAGGGGACCAUGUGCCCCAUGGCCCUGGCUGGAGGGGGAGGAUGUUGGUCCUCAGGUCACCAUGACAACCAACCUACAUCUUUCAAUACAUUCAUGGUGAUCAAAACACCAGGGAAGCCAUAAUGGGCCAGUUUAUAGUCUGAUGGACUCUUUCCCCUUUAGGAUAACCUCCGUGCCCAACAAAAUGGGCAGCAUCUACCACUGUGUCCCCUAUGUGGGUUAGCAGGAUAAGAAGGAAAUGCUAUGGGGAAAUGGCUUAAUGGACUCCCUCUCCUCCCUGAGUACCAACAUGUAGGAAAAAUAUUUCUGGUCUAUCAAAUGUUACUUAGAAAUUGAAAAAGAAAAAAAAAAAAAAACCCUGCUAGUUAAUUUUUUUCUUCCAGUGGUGUGACCGGCUAAGCAAGUGGAAAGUAAAUUGUGUUUGGGCAUACAGACUAAGUCACAGGAAAUAAAGGGCCUUACCUGAGGUAACCGGCCAAGUCAGGAGAUAUUGUCGCUCGAGGCUCCUGAUUUCAGAUAACUUAACCCAUUAAUGAAGAAGCUCCACUAGGUCUUGGUAUAUGCUCUGGACCAUAAGGAGGGAUAGGAAGAAAGCAAGGAUUCACUUGUCACAUCUUUAUGGACCUGGACAUGGAAUAACUAAGGGGCUUAGUCAUGUCUCUGCCCUUGAACACCUCCUGUGUGGGUGGAUGUGUGCAGGCAGAAGCAGGCAGGGGGCUCCAGGGAGUCAAGGCUGGGGCAUCCCAGUCAAAGCCAGUCCUGGCUUUAAGGGGAAGAGAGGCAAAAAUGCAUGCUAUUUUAAAUAAUUUAUAGUGAAUAAUUUAGUCCUUUUCCAUUACCGUAACAUAAUGCCACAGCCUGGAUAAUUUACAAAGAAAAGAGAUUUGCUUCUUACAUUCUGGUAGGCUACGAAGUCUAAAGUUGAGGGGAUGCACUUGGUGAGGGCCUUCAUGCUAUAGCACAGCAUAGUGCAGGGUGUCACUGGCUAGAGACAGAGCAAGUGCCAGCUGAGGUCUCUUUCUUCUUAUAAAGCCACUAAUCUCAUCAUAGGGAUCCACUCUCAUGACCUCAUCUAACCCUAGUUACCUCCUAAGGCCCCAUCUCCAAAUCCUAUCGACCUAUGAAUGCCAAUAGGAUUUUCCACUCUCUUAAUUCCAUAACAACGUCAACCAAAUCUCAACCCAUAAAUUUUGUGGGUGGGGCACAUUCAAAUUAUCACAGUGAUUAAGGAGCAGACCAACCAGGGUGAAGGAGACCAUGAGAGCAGUGGGUUCCAGGAAGUGGAGCAGUUGUCAUGGGUUGGAUUAGUUUGAAAAGGCUUUGUGCAGAAGAAGCAGUUUGAGUUGGGCUUUCUGAGAGGAGGAUUUGAAUGGGGAUCAUCUGCCUGAGCAGAAGCAACCCAUAGACCUCCCCAUCCUAAAAAGAACACGGUCCACAUUUAGAAUCCUAGUAACAGCAUCAAUUUCCUUGGAGUAAAGAGAAGUUAACCUUCAAUUACUUACUACAUGUUUUCAUUCAGCUUUGUUAGGCACAUACUAAAAGUUCUAUGUUUUUUUUCUUCUCUUUUCUAAUGUAGAAAUUCUGGGAGUGAAUUUGUCUUAGCUUUUAGUCUGGAGAUAUUUGUUCAAGGAAUAAUGUAGACAUUCACCCUACAAUGUUGUGACCCUGUAUGAGUGACAGAUUGUCAGAGGAGCCCAGCAUCCUCUCAGGUCAUGGUUACAUGGGAGCACCAUGGAAAAGGCUCCUGGGAUCUCUUAGCAUCCUUUUUACUUUAGAAGAAGUAAUGGAAAAUGAUGGCUCCUUGAUAUAAAAGGCACCUCAGCAACAGGCCGGAGUUUCUGAAUAUUGACUCUGAACCACAGGGGCAUCACCCCACAAAAGGCAUUCCUAAACUUCCACAUUUUCACUCUUAAAAAUUUCAAAAGUUCAAGAGAAUAAAAAGAAAAGCCACAAACUUGGGAUAAGGUAUGUUCACAACACAUAUCUGAUCAAAGCCUGCUAUCCAAAGCAUGCAAAACUCUAGUUGAUAAGAAACAACCCAACUAAAAGUGAACCAAGGCCUUUAACAGAUUCUUCACCAAAAAAGAUACACAAGAUGGCAAGUAAGCAUAUGAAAAGAUGCCCCAUAUAAUAUGUUAUCAGGGAAAUGCAAAUUAAAACAAUGAGGUACCACUGCACUUGAAUUAAACGGCCCAAAUCCAAAACAAUGACAACACUGAAUGCUGUCUAGGAUUCGUGACAGCAGGAACUCUCACUCAUUGCUGGUGGNAGUCCAGAAUUAUUGAAAGCCCAAUACAAUGAACCCUUGUACUCCCUCUACCCAGAUUGCAUUGCUUUGACUUUCGACACAUUUAUGUGUCUUUGGGUAGAGAAGAAAUUGAGUUAUAGACACCAUGACACAUCUGUUUAUAUUUUGAAAAGCGUCUCCUAACUAUAAAUACACUGUCCUACAUAACUGCAAGAGAAUUUUAAAAAUUCCUCAGUGUGACCUAGUAUCCAGUCCAUGUUUAAAUUCCUGCAGCUGUCCCCAAAAUGUCUUUCUUAGAUGUUCAUUUUCUUUGAAUCCAGAUCCAGUCUCUCCCGUUGUGCCUGGCUAUUAUGAUUCUUUAAGUUUUUUAAACCUGUACACUUUUGCCUUUUUUUUUUUCAUGACACAUUUUGUUUUAAAAAUCAACAAUGUUGAGAUAUAAUCAAAAUACAAUAAAAUGCAGGCAUUUUCAUAUGUUCAUAAGUGUAUAUAUAAUUGUAUAAACCAAUGUAACCAUCAUCCCUGGCAAGAUAAUUUCUGUCACCCUGAAAGCUCAUGGGUAUCUCUCUACAGUCUCUCUCUGCUCCUGGUCCCAAGAAACCAUUGAUCUGCUUUCACAUUAUCAUAUUGAUUUUCUGUAGAUUGGUUGGCUUGUCUUGUAGAACAUCUUACAUGUCCAAUUGUUUCCUUGUAGUGUCAUUAACCUGACACUCUAGCUAUUGUAUUUUCUGUGCACUGGAUGUUAAGUCUAAACGUUUGGCUAACUGCAAGUAAAAUGCACAUGGAAAAGAAGACUUCAUAGGUGAUACCAAAUACCUCUUGUGGCAUCACACUGGGAGGCAUAUGAAACCAGGGUGUGCCAUUGGUAGGGACACUCAGCUUGCUCCCUUGGGUGAGCUAUUGAUCAUUAGGUUUUUCUUUGUAAAAGUAUAUUGUUAUCUUGAAAUGAGUAAGUAGUUUUCCCUUAUCUGGGGCGUUGCUUUCUAUGGUUUCAUUUUCCUGAAGGCAACCAUGGUCUAAAAACAUUAAAUGGAAAAUUCCAGAAAUAAACAAUUCAUAAGUUUUAAGUGACAUUAAAUUGUUAUAAUUAUUGUAUUUUAUUAUUGUUGUUGUGCCUAGUUCAUAACUUAAACUUUAUCAUAGCUAUGGAUAUAUAUUUUUAAAAACCCCAUUGCAUGUCUAGGAUAGGGUACUAUCUACAGUUUCAGACAUCUUUUGUUUUAGGAAUCCAAGGAACAUUAUGGAACAAAUACCCCCAGAUUAGGGGGGACUACUGUAUGUCAGUGUGUUAGUUGGCUUUCUGUCAUUGACAAAAUACCAGAGAAAAUCAACUUACGGGAAGAAAGACUGAUUUUGGCUCAUAGUUUCAGAGGUCUCAGUCCACACUCAGCCAAGUCCAUUGCUUUGGGCCUGAGCUGAGGCAGAACAUCAUGGCAGAAAGUGACAGAGCCAAGCUGCUCAGCUCAUAGUAGCCAGGAAACACAGAGAGAUGAGGUGGGUUAGGAACAACACACAGGCCCAAGGUUUCACCCACAAGGCCCUAUUCCCUCCAACAAGGUUUCGAAUCCUACAAUUUCCACCACCUCCCAGUCGUCCAUUUAGCUGUGAACCUGUCAGUGAAUUGAUGGGUUAACUGGCAGCCUAGCAAAAGAGUUUCUUGAUUUUUCAAUUAUGUAGGAUCAUUCAUUUGAGUUUUAGUUAAGUGAUAAAAUUUCAAAAAACCUGUUGGGCUGCUAUGGCCUUAUGGGAUUUAUAAAAUAAUAGCAUCCUGUUCAAAAUUGGAACUAUACUCCAAGCAUCCUAAAACAAUUAAAGGGCACAAGGUCAAUUCAGAAUGUUACAUGGAUUAUUUUAGAAAUUACCUUAUUCAUGUAUUUCAGGAUAUUUAUAAUGUAAUUAUAAUUCAUUUAUGCACUAAAUAUUCUGCCCUUGAAAUCCUGUCAUCAAGGGAUCCAUAGUUAAAGAAUUAAUGUAACCACUUGCACUGCCCAAAGAGAGGACCACAUUUUGCAUGCUUUAUUCUAGGUGACUCCCAAUAAAAAUGGACCCUGUUCCCUCAGCAUUAGCUCUUUAUGAACAUGCAUGGUGAGGCCAAGGAUGGAUGACUAUUUAAUGAUACUGAGUUUUACAUGAGGGCACUGGAGUCAGAAACAGUUGCAAAAUAGGGGAAGGAAGUAGCCUGGGGCUCCGUCUUCCAGAAAACACCAAAAUACACCUGAAGAACUUCAGAUGUUCCAAGUUCUCUUUGUGCUGUAUUGUGAGUGAGUCCCAAGGAAAGGUCAGCUAUAAUUUGAAAGUGUUGCAGGAAUAAUGUUAUCAACUGUGGGACACAGUAAUGAGGAGGGAAAGGAUUCCUCCAAAGUGGCCUUCUGCUCCUCACUGGUUGAGGACUUCCAUUUUUCUCUGCUGGAUUAUGUCUUGACCCAAGAAACUUCCCACCAAAUUCUUAGUGACAGAACUCAGCAUAAGUGGUGUGUGUGUGUGUGUGUGUGUGUGUGUGUGUGAGAGAGAGAGAGAGAGAGAGAGAGAGAGAGAGAGCGCGCGUGAGAGAGAGAGAGAGCAUGCAUAAGCAUGUGCAAAGAUGCAUAUCCAGGAGCUCAACUGGCUUGCCAGAGAUGUCCGCAGGUAUAUAAUGCUGUUUGUUGGAUACUGUGAAUCCAUGGGUACCUCUAUCCAUUUGAGAAUAUAGCAAGGUCCAGACCUCUUCAUUAUAGUAAUAUGAAAUCACUAACUUAGGUGCUCAGAGAGCAAAAUGAUGAACCAGAUAGAGAUCUUGACCUGGAGGAAUUCAGAAAAUAAAGUAGUGGAGACCUUGAUUAUGCAUUGAAACUGCCUGGGGACCUUUAAGAAAUGGUGGUCCUGGUCUCAUUGAGCAGAGGUUCUGACUAAUUUGGGUCCAGAAUAUGCUGUAAGUACAAAGACUUGAAAACUCCUGAGUGGUUCUAAUGUGCAUUGCAGUAAAGAAAGGCAUUUGCCAGUAAAUAGAUGGAGCUAGAGAAUAUCAUGCUAAGUGAAAUAAGCCAAUGCCCCUCAAAACAAAGGCUGAAUGUUUUCUCUGGUAUGCGGAUGCUAAUUCACUGUAAGGGGGAUGCUAGGGAAGAAUAGAGUUACUUUAGAUUAGACAGAGGGGAGUGAAGGGAGAGGAGAGGGUAUGAGGGUUGGAAGGAUAGUAGAAUGAAUCAGACAUUAUUUCCCUAUGUGUGUGUGUGUGUGUGUGUGUAUAACUAUACAACCAGUGGGAUUCUAUAUUAUGUACAACCAGGAGAAUGAGAAAUUAAACUCCAUCAUAUAUGAUGUAUAAAAGUGCAUUCUACUGUCAUGUAUAACUAAUUAAAACAAAACAAAGCAAAACAAAAAAAGACAAAGCCCCCAGAGAGCCAUAAACUUAGGAGCAGUAACAUCUUCAGUCUCUAGGAGUGCUAUGUAGACUGUGGAAGUGUACAUAUAAUCAGUAGGGAAAUGAAUACAAUUUGAAGCUAUUGUCCUCUUUUAUAUUCAGGUACGUGUGUACAUAAAUACAUACAUAUUACAUAAGUAUCACAUUCUCAUAAUAGAUCCAGGGAUAUGAAAAUAUUCAAAACAAAACACCUGGUCCCAUAGUGACUUGAUUGAUGUUCAAUGAUUCACUAGUCCUCUUUCUAUGUUUGAAGCACAUUGACAUGUAGGCUCCACCACAUACUUCAUAUGUACUCCAUAAGCCUAUGGAGUUGAGAUCAGGUUAUCUACUUUGGUUAUAGUGGUGUUUACCUCCAUGUUUUGAUGGCUAUUUAGUGUCAUUGGCUAUUUGAUGUGCGUAUAACUCUUUUAUUUCUUGUUACUCUUGUUUUCUGUUUUUGAGAGAGAAAGAGAGAGAGAGAAUUUUUUAAAUAUUUAUUUUUUUUAGUUUUCAAUGGACAUAACAUCUUUAUUUUAUUUGUAUGUGGUGCUGAGGAUCGAACCCAGCGCCCCACACAUGCCAGGCGAGCACGCUACCGCUUGAGCCACAUCCCCAGUCCCAUCACUUUUGUUUUAAUUGAUACAAAAAUCUCUUUAGAGCAGUAACAAAACAACCCCUAUAGUUAAACAAGCAAAAUUAAAACUACAACUGAGAGUCCUCAUAUGAUUCCACAAAAAAAAAAACAAAAAAAAACUUAGCUUUUGAUUUCCAUGAAAACCAGAAACUUUUUGUUUUGCAAUGUAGAACUACUUCUGACUUAAUCAAACACUCAGGCUGUAGGGCAAACAAUUGGAGAAAUGUGGUUCUGGAGAAUAAGUAUGGUUUCUAAUGGAAACUAUGAGAGGAACAGAGUCUGGACAUUUUAGAGUGGGAGGAAAAGGAUUAAGAAUGAUUUAUCAGAGUGAAGCAAAAAGGAACCUGAAAGGGGUAAGGUAGCAAGUUGAUACUGCAGCAAUGCAAUGAAUUUCGGAUUUCCUCUCUUAUUUCAUUUUGAGAUGAGUGAGGUUACAUACAUGUACAUCACUUGGGGUGACUAAGCUGAAGGUGGAGUUGAAGGAUACUGUCUUCCUCCUCCAUCACUGGCAUGAUGAACAAGUGAUGUCUACGUGGGAAUCAACUCAGGAGAUGCAGUUUCGUGAAAUCACCCAUGCUAAUGUGCAAAGCGGCAACUGCUUCUGCAGAUGCCUUGCAGGGCAGUGAAGCCAGCAAGUAGGUUAUCCAGGCUGGAGUGCAACUGUUUAAGCAUUAAAUUGCAUGUUUAUUUCAUGGAACAUUAAAAACCAAAUGGUGCCCUGUCAUGCACCGCACCUGUGCCUCUUGUUUGGUGUGGAAAUGAUUGCUAUAGAACCUGAUACAAUGCUGAAUUAUCCCGGAGCUGACAGCAGAAGUUGUGAUUCACUAGAGAAACCCUGAUGCCUCAGCCAGGCCCAAGCUAGUUAAAGUUAAAUACAAUUGGUUUUCAGGUUUACUACACUGAAUGUGUUUAUUCCAAAACAUAAGAUGCUUGGGGGUUUUGUAAUGCACUAUGAUUACUUUUUAGAGAAGUUUGUUUCUUAAAAACAGAUGAGAGUAAAGAAAAACAGUCAGCAUUUCUCUUUAGGUAGUUGGACUCCCUACUAUUGCAUCUCUCCUGGUAAAAGUGGUGGCCUCCCUGUGGCAGUAGCUUGAGGGAGACAAACUGGAGAGGGUUUAGUGGAGUCAGGAAGUCCAGACAUAAUUUGAAGGCUCCAUAUUUUACCACAUGCUGUUCUUGGUAGCAAAGGAUUUGUCAAGAUUUGUUAUUUCAUUUAAGUCUGGGAAUUAAGCAUGACUCAAUGCAGAUGGCCAAGUUCUGAGCGGGAAUGAGAAUGGGCAUCUGGCUAGUUUGAUAUAGCCAAGUGGACUUUCCUUAUCAAAUCUGACUGUUGUGAGCCAGGCCAUUCUUAAAUACAUAACCCCUGGUCCAUAAGUGAACCCACCCUGACACAUAGUAAGGGCCCCUCUUAUCUUAUCCCCCCGUCGCCCUCCUCUACCCCACAGACCACGCACCAUCACCUGGCAGGAGCACAGGAUCAUCUUGCUGGGAGAUCUCUGGCAUUCGGAUCCACAGUGAGUGGUAAGGAGGGGAGGGGGUGCUUCAUCUGGUCCCAACAGGUUAUGUUCCCGCAGAAGGGCAGAGCCCAACAUAGAGAGCGAGCAGGAGCCUUUCCUCAGGAACUGGGGGGCAGAUUUCUGUGAAGGUCAUGAGGACAGGUGCUAUGUAUCAGGCUACUGUAAGUGCUCAGUAAAUGUUCGCUGAACAAAGAAAGAUAUUACAGAGGGACAAAGAGACAUUUGAUGAAUAAAGAGAAGAGAAAAUGUCUUCAGUGGGCUUGUAUCCCUUCCAGAAGAAAUUGUAUAUAGUGUUAUUCAAAAAUGUUAUCAAAAUAUCCCUCCUAAGACAAGGAUAGAGGGAAUGCUUAGCUUAGGGGGGCCUGGAAUGGAGGCUUGGGGACUAUAAAUCACAUCUAAUGAUAUGCAGCUGAUGGUCCAGAUUCUGACAUAGCUGUCUCAUGCCUGUCUUGAGGUCACUCUGCAGGAUGAUGUCUCUUGGACCAACUCCUGGACAGCCCUUUUGUAACCCCCAGAAUCCUCUAAGCCUGGUAGACCCUUCAAGACCUAGACCUGAGGGAUUAAUUAAUAAGCUGUUUGUAAUCAAAAUAGGCUAAUGAAAGUAAAAUCUUCUCCAAAACACUAUAAAUUGGGAUAUUCCCUUAUUUGGGCAGACUAUGUAAACGUGAGUUUAUUUGGAAGCAGGGGGACAAACCAAAGGAUCUCCUUAGGUUUCUGAGGUCCUAUGAGUUCACAACCUUUUUCAAAAUAUUUUAUGGAGCCUGGCGCGGCAGCACAUGCCUGUAAUUCCAGCAGCGUGGGAAGCUGAGGCAGGAGCAUCGCAAGUUCAAAGCCAGCCACAGCAACUUAUUGACAAGGCUCUAAGCAACUUAGCAAGACCCUAUUUCAAAAUUAAAAAAUAAAAAUGAUUGGGAUGAGGCUCAGUGGCUAAGUGCUCCUAGGUUCAAUUCCUGGUAUUAAAAAAAUUUGUAUAUAUUUAUGUAUGCACACACACACACACACAGAGUAUGGGUCUGGGAAUAUAGCUCCACAUGCCUAGUAUGUGUGAGAUCCUGGGUUCAAGUCCCAGCACUGCAAAAAAAAAAAAGAAAAACAAAAACCAAAAAAUAAGCUCCAAAGCCAAAAUAUUACUGUAGCCCAGCGCUAAACAUUUAAUUUGACAUUGUUAAUUUGUAGCUGAGGAAUCUGGGCCAUGGCAUGGUGGACCAUUUGCCCAAAGUUAAACUGAACAUCAGCCUUUGUCAGCUUUCUGCUGUCCUCUGAGAACAUUCCAAAUUUGGUGAUGUUCUGGUUUCCGACUUAUAAUUAGCCUCAAGAAAGUGCUGACAGGUUGCGCUGCUACAUUGAGGCCAGUCUCUCUUUCCCAGGAAUCUGACAUAAAGUCCCCAUUCCAGCAGUGCAUGACCCAGUUUCUUUCUCAUGUUCCUGGCGCUCUGGGGCUGCUGAAAGGGCCGGCCGUAGCUAACAGAACAGAAGCAUGGGCCCCAGCUCUGCUCCUGAACAGUGCCAUCUCCACUAGGCUGGGGCCCAUAUGCUCAGCUUCCUGGGGUCACUGAACUUCCACUUGCACCCCUGAAUUCAGAUGCAGUCCCAAACUGACACUGUGCAUAGUUGCAGGCUGCAAACAACUUAGAGGACCUAUGUUUCUAGGAGAAAUUUCCAGUCUAGAAACAAUCAAGGCUGUUUACCAUUCACUCUGGUCCUAUUUUUUUCCCCCUUGAUAUGGGGGAUGGAGCCCAAGGUCUUAUACAUGCUAGACACCUGCUCUAUCUCUGAGCCAUGCUCCAAGCCCCUUUACAAUUUUGUUUUGAGAUAGGGUCUUGCUAAGUUGCUGAGGCUGGCCUUGACUUUGUGAUCCUUCUGCAUCAGAUUUCCUGAGUCACUGAGAUUAAAGGCAUGUAUCACUGUGCCUGGGUUUUGGCCCUGAUUUUGAGAACUCUUCUUUGUAAAACACCCAAUACUCUGCACACACGUGCAUACACAUCACACAGUCAUACAACAUGCAUGAUAACACAACACACACUCAUACCACACACACAACACACACUCUCACAUCACAUAUAACCCCCAUACCACAUACCUAUGCACCCACAACAACACACACACACACACACACACGUAUCACAACACAUACCACAGUAAAACACCACCCCAGUGUGUGCCGUUCUCAGAUAUAAGGAAGUGGGUGCCAUCAUUUUUGGUGUCCUGGCUAAAGGAAGAAUUCACCUUGAAGAGAAUUUGACUGACACUGAUCGUCAAGAAAGUUAUGUCUUAAUUUUAUUUUCUUCUGGGAACUUUUCUUAUAUUCAAUUAAUAUUACAUGAGGAUGCCAUGUAACACAGGAAAUAGCACAACUUGAGUUUGAAUCCCAACGCUGCUAUUUACAGUCAGUUCACCUUGGACAAGUAGCUUAAUUUCCCUGGAGCCUCAUUUUCCUCAUCUGCAAAGUGAAAAUAAUUAUACAAACACCAACGUGUAAUUGUGAAGAUAAGAACCAGAGGUAUAGUGUGCUCACUGUGUUGUCUGGCACAUGAUGUUUAGUACACAGGUGUGUGGAGACAGGUUGAUGGGUGGGUGUCCUCAUCCUGCUUUGCUUUUUCGGGUCGGAGGGGCUGUACCCAUUCUCAACUUUCAUUUGGGACAAAGCCUCCAACUUCUCCGGGUACCUGGCAGCUGGAGAUUGCUAGUAACUGAGGGAUGGGUGUACAGCUUUGGGCCAUGAGCAUGACCAUUCUCCCAAGACAGAGAGAUUCUUCAAAGAAAAAAAAAUAAACAAGUCACCUUCUUAGGUCAGUCUGGGUUCUCUGGAGCGCCUUCGUACCCUGUGCUCACCUUUCGUUGGCCUCCUGCCUGCAGGAGGAAGUUCAGUGACCCCAGGGCUGCUCCAAGGAAAAGGUACUGUUGCUUUCCAAGUCAUUUCCAAAGUUCAUGUUGAGAUCUAAUUGUCAAGUAAUGGUGUUGAGAGGUGGAGCCUUCAAGAGAUGGAUUAAGCCAUUAUGGUGGGAGGGGGCUCCUGAUAAAAGGAUGAGUGGGCCUGAAGCGGUGCGUCUUGUGCCUGCCCACUGGCCUUGUACCACGUUAUAUUGCAGAACUGCAAAGGCCCACCAGAAGCUGGUGCCACACUCUUGGACUUGCCAAGCCUCCAGAACCACGAGCAAAUAAAAUUCUACUGUGAUUAAACUACUGCUUGUGGGAUUCUGUGGUAUCAGCAGAAAACAGACUAAGACACUGAUUAACAUGGGUGGUGACUCUGUAGCUGACUUUCUAACAUAAAGAUGAUAUUUUUCAUAAUAAAAAGAAGCAUAAAAACAAAAGUGCCAGUAGAGAGGGUUGUCUAGAGCAACUCGAAGAGAGGGAGGAGUUAGUAGGUGAGAAGCGCGGAGGGUCUGUCCUGGGGCUCUGGCAAAGAGGAUGGAGACGGAGGAAUGGCCUCACAAAACAACCAGCAGGUAGAACCUGGGGUCUUGGCAACAGAGGUGGCAUUGAAUGAGACAGGGAAUCGUCUAGAACACCCAGCGAUGCCCAGGUUUCCUGCAGGGUCUUGGAACCAUCCGAGAAGGAUACAGUGGCCAGGAGAUGGGUUGGAAGGGAUGAUACAAUUUGUUAAGGGCAAAUCGAGUUUGUGCUACUUGUAGGGACAAGAAGUGGCAUGUUCAGUGGUCAGUUAGAUACAAGGAUCAGAGCUCUGCAGAACCAGUGGCCAGCUGUCUUUAAAAACUGUUUUAUUGCUAAAGAUUAUUCUAAGUAGUUACUCAUUCCGCUUGGCGGGAGGCCCCGAAACCCCCAGCACGCUGGUAAUUAUACAGUCUGAGUCACUGGGUGGCCCUUCUCUCAUGGUUCAUCUUUCUUUACCUAAGCGCAGGGUUUAAUGAUUUUUCAAGCUCCUUUUCCCUGGAUUAUAAUGCGGAACUACUCAGCCUGGUACUUAAGAAGCUCAUUUCCUAUUUAAACUUUAUUAGAAUCUAAUUCCUUCUCUACCAAAUGGCAAUGCAAUAACUUCGGCUUCCCAAGUUAAGUGGGAGAGAGAGAGCCAUCGAAAACUACAAGUAAACAGGAAAGGCGGAGAAGAUGAGAGAAAACAGAAGACUUAUUCCUGCUCAGGGCCUGUUUCACAUCCCAGGGAGGCGGCAAAGAGUUCCUCUGCUCUUCAGGCAUACAUCUGGGGCUGUCCAAUCGCGUCUGCUGGUGGUGCAGAUGCACUGGGGAGGGCCAUCCAGAGACAGUUGUCCUCACAUGGCUGAGAAUCCAGAGCCCUGUGUGCGAAGAAUCUGAGCUCAGGGAGGUGAGCUUAGGUCACAUUGCUGGACAGAGAGCCAGGGGACAGGGAUAAGAGAUGCACCUGGUUCAUGAGUUCAGGGGCUCCCAGUCUACCUUGCAUGACCCUGAGAGUGAGUUGCCUUCAAUUCUGUCUCCAAGAGGCUUGUCUUGCCCUACUGGACCCAUGGACCCUGAUCAUAGGUUCAGGACAACAACCCAGGGACGUCGAUGCUGUUGCUCUGUGUUCCCUUCUGCUCUCACACACUUUGUGGAUUGUUUCAAACUCGUCUUUCAUGACCAGCUCAAAACUCCUCCUCUGUGAGCGACAUGUCCUCAGUCCACUCAGCAGCAGGGGCCUCCACCUUCUCUCUGUGUCCCUGGCCCUUAUGUUCCUGCUUACCUUCAAGUAUCAAUCACAGGAAGGCUUACGUGUCCAUCUCCUCUCCUGACUGUUGCUGAAGUCUUCAUAGCACACAAUUAGUAUGUGUCAAGCAUUUAAUAAUGUGAAAUAUCGAGCGAGUGAAUGAAUGAAUAAACAAAAGAGCAAGGAGCUGCUUAUUAGGCCCUGUGGUUUGCCCUUCAAGAACGCAAAAGUGACCUGGGGACAGUGGGUAGUGGACAGACCUGGUCACCCGAGGGCAGAUCACCUGAUACUUCCUCUCUCCCUGCUCUUUUCUCUCUGUGCCAACAUGCAGACCUCUCACUACUCUCCAGAGCUGGCACCUUCUCAGGACUUGGCUCUAGUGGGUGAAGUGGCUGUCCUGGGUCUAACCUGGGCCAUUUGGUACAGCAAAUGGGCUGUACCUCCCUCCUCACUCCAGUUCUGUUUUCUUCCCCAUCCCUCGAUCCCUAGCAGACCUCACUACCUGCCUCUCCCAUCACGGGGAGGGGUUGCUCCCAGUCUCCUCCAUUCAAGGAGUGCCCUAGGCAACUCUGAGAGGCAGGCACUGAGCAAGGAAGCCGCAAAGAAGCAUCAUUCUUCAAGGUGUUCACUUAGCAGCAAGAGCAGGGAUGUUAAGAAGUGGAAUUCCAGAGAGAAGAUAGCACCUUAUUUUGUCCUUUGCUUCCCCGACUGUCUUGGUUGAGUUUAGAGGGUUUGAUCUUUAAUCAGAUCUUCAUUAAUCACAUGUCUAGUGACAACCUGUCUCAGGUUUUGUCCAAAUAGCUCAAACAGGCCUGGGGAUGUAGUUUGGUGGUACAGUGCUUGCCUACCAUGCUCAAGGCCCUGGGUUCCAACUCCACAACUAAAAAGGAAAUUCAAAGAUGCAAACCUUAAGCAGAAACACAUGAUUAAGUCUGCUGAUUCUGUGGCUUCUCCAUGAGCAAGCCUGUCUUGCCAGACCCCAGCCAGUCUGCAUUCUGUUGGGGGGUAUAUUAGUCAGCUUUCUGUUACUCUAACAAAAUACCAGAGUCAAGCCUACUUUAUUUUAAAAAAGAGAUUUAUUUUGACUCAUUGUUCUGGAAGUGCAAGAUGUAGGCACCCGAUCUGGUGGUGGCCUUCUUGCUGACUGAGUCCCAGGGCAGCACAGGGCAAGAGUCAGGGGGCACAUGUAAGUAUGUGUGUGGCUCUCCCUCUUCUUAUAAAGUCUUCAGGAUUCAAUCAUGGGGGCUCUGCCCUAAUGACCUUAUUUAAUCUUAACCAUCUCCCAGAUGCUCCAUAUGGUGUUGAGACACCACAGGCAGAUUAAGUUUCCACCCUCUUAAUACCACUGACACAUAACUUUGUGGAUUAAACUCUAGCAUGAGUUCAGGGGGACAAACCAUAGCCAAGUGGUCUUCCCAGUGACCCUUUUUAGGGAUUACUCCACCCCCACUCCAUCCCUCCAUCCUUGGAGGCUGCCAUGUUUUCAACACUGCAAUGCACUUCCCCACCAAAACCAAUUAGCCCAAGGGUGAGUGGGUGGGGGCAUACUACAAAACAAGCCAGUCCCCUCCCAGAAGAGUUUAGUCUGGGGCAUGAUAGAAAAGGCAGUGUCUCUAUUUGGGUGGCUGAAUUGCAGUGAGUUUCAGCAGAAAGGGAUUUCGCAAAUGGUGUUAACUUGUUUAUGGAAUCAUUGCAACAACUAAGAAAUGGUUUGUUAAGUCUCACCCUUGGGCUCAUCCUCUAAGAGCUGAGGUGCUUCAGCUUCAGAAUCUUAUGUCUAGGCCCUGACUACACGGUUGCCAUGCAACACAGACAGAACCCGAGGACCUUACACUAGGUGAAGGAAGUCAGCACAGAAAGACAUCACAUGUUCUCACCUGUGUGUGUGAAUGUUUAAAAAUUGAUUUCAGGGAAUUAGAGAGUAGAAGGGUUACCAAAGGCUAUAAAGGGUGGCGAGGUCAAGUGAAGGUGGCUGAUGGGUCUGGGGAUGCACUUGGAAAGGAGGAAUAACUUCUAAUUAGACGGUAGGAUAACUAUCGUUGACAAACUUUAAUUGUAUAGUUCAAAAUAGCCGGUAGAGAGGAUGUUGCAUGUUCCUAAUCCAAAAAAAAAAGAUAAAUGUUGAGGGUGAUGCUAAUUCCCCAGAUCUUAUCAUUACACACUGUAUACAUGUACUGAAGCAUCACACUAUACCCCCCCCCCCCAAAAUGUGCAAAUUAUUUUGGGUCCAUUCAAAUUUUAAAAUAUAUUUUUAAAAAGAGGCUGCAACUGGUUCCAAAAUCACAUUGCAUCUGCCACAAUUCACACCAUCAACCCAGACACCUCAGUCGGGCAUGGUGGUGAAUGUCUGUAAUCCUGGUGGCUCCAGAGGCUGAGGCAGGAGGAUCACUAGUUCAAGGCUAGCCUCGGCAAUUUAGUGAGGCCCUAAGCAACUUAAGGAGACCCUGUCGCAAAUAAAAAAAAUUUUAAAAAGGGCUGGGGGUGUGGCUCAGUGGUUAAGUGCCCCUGGGUUCAAUCCCUGGUACAAAAAAGAAAAGAAAAGAAAAGAAAAAUCAUGACACCUCUUCUCUAGCUGCUGCAGUAAAGCACGUGCCUCCAUGUGGAGCUUGCCAACAGGUAGGAUGGGGCAGCAGAGAAGGCCUCCACCUCUCCAAGUUGUCUGCCCAAACCUAGCUCAUUCUCACAACCUUGGUGGUGAGGGAGCUGGAACUGCAGUCUGUCAGUUCUACCCUGAGCUAUCCCAGGAAGGACCGGAGGAGGAGAGGGGAAUAAGCGUGAGGGCUGAUCCAUCCCUACCCCUUUGCCUUCUUAGGUUUCUUAAUUUGAUUAAACAGCAGCCCUCCUAAGACUUCAGAUGUGCCCCAGCCCCACGUUCUGCUCGUCUCAAGCAAAUCAGACUCUCCCUUUUUGUAGCGAAGGUGCCAGAUAUCAGAGGAAACUGGCCUGGAGAUCAUGUCAGCUCAGCCCUGAGCCCACUUUACUGUGGGUAUCAUGUGCCCAGAGUUGUGUCCUUCUCUAUAAAUGUACUGUUUGUGGAGGGCAAAGUGAAUAGGAAAAGCAAUCCCCAGGGUUAGUGGACAAAAGUGUCCCUUGGGAGAAUGCGGGCCACUCAGUAGACCAUCAGGUGAGGGUUUAACAGGUGCUGUGUAUCAGAGGUGGAGCCAACGAGGGUGGAAGGUGUUGGGCUUGGAGUCAGACUCUAGGCGGGGAAUGUCACAGUUGCACUGCUGGGGCCCUGGAAUAGACUGCUUAGGCACUCCAGGGGGACAGGCAGGGAUCAACAGGUGAGACAGGGAGCAAGCACCAAGGUCAUUACUAACAGAUUGUUCAGGGGUUAGCCAUCCUGGUCUGGAAUUCUCCUGACCAGCUUCCCUUCUCCCCCUUCCACAUCUCUUCCAUCUUUCCCCGGCCCCUCAGGUCCCCGUGCUUGGUGUGCCUACACACCUAUGAGAAUGAGCACAUUGCUGUCUGUCAGCAGCUGUCUGCAGCUCAAUUGUGCACAGCCUUCCAGAGACUCAUUUCCAAGGUCACUCUUCCAUGAGGAACGCCACAAUUCCUUUGAAUCCCUUUGCUUUCACGCAGGUACCAAUGCAGACAUUUUAAGCAUGCACAACACACCUAGCCCUUGCUGACUGUCUCUUAUCAGUUUCCUUAUAAUCACAUUUUACUCUUCCACUAAUUUACUACAUGACUUUAAAAAAAAAUUUUUAAGAGCAUGAGCAGGCACUCUAACUUCAUUAUACUUAAUAGUAAUGAGCCACACAUAAAAUAGUCCAUUUACCCUAGUCUACUUUUAGGGUAUGACUACUCCUAGGGAUGUAAAUGAGACAGGAGUCCUGUGGUUCAGUAUUUUGAAGUUUCUUUAACUUCAGACCAUAGUGGUUUGGCGUGGGGUCUUUGGACACAGUUUAUGUUCCAGCUCCUUCAUUCCUAGAGUAAUAAGGGAGAGAUGGUAGCUAAAGAUAAUUCCCAGGUCUGUAGCCGGGAGAGUAGUAGGUUUUAGUGGGGAAGAUUCUGGUUUAUCUUUGGGCAAAUGGCAUUUGAGAUGGCUAAGAAGCAUCAUGGAGAAACACUGGAGCAAUCGUAUCUACAAGUUGGCAGCUUGGGACAGUGUUUUAGUCAGCUUUGCUAUGACUAAGGAUCUGACCAGAACAAUUUUAGAGGAGGAAAAGGUUAUUUGAGGGCUCAUGGUUUCAGAGGUCUUAGUCCACAGAAGGCAGGCUCCAUUCCUCAGGGGUUGAUGUGAGGAUGAACAUCAUAGCAGGAGAGGGUGGUGGUGGAAUGCAGAUCACAUCGUGGUGACCAGGAGGCAGAGAGAGAGAGACUCUACUCACCAGUUACAAAUAUAUACCCAAAGCCACGCCCCAAUUCUCAAGUCCUCUAGCCAUACUCUACCACUUCAGUUCCUACUCAGUUAAUCCCUACCCGGGGAUUAAUUUACUGAUUGAGUUAAGACUCUCACAACCCAAUCAUUUCUCCUCUGAACCUUCUUGCACUGUCGCACAUGUGAGCUUUUGAGGAACACCACAUCCAAACCAUACAGACAGGUUUGAAUCAGAGACAGUGACUGAGAAUCCCCAGAAUUGAGGUUCUAGUUUUUCAAAAUGAUGAAGUGGAUCCUAAUGUUACCAUGACAACACAUAGUUGCUUCAGUUUGGAGGACUGUGGGUGGGGUAACAAGUCUGUGACCGUCAUCUGGUGGCAAGUUGGGAGCUGCCUUCUGAAGGAAUCGAGUCUAAUCUUGGCUUUGCCACCUGAUCGAGUCACUUAGCUCCAUAAUUUGCAAAAUGUAUGUGAAACCAAAUUGUAAACUAUGAACUGCACAUUCAAGGGGUUGUUGUUGUUAUUAUUAUUAUUACUGGUUUUGGACUUUCAUAGUUUCACUUAACAGCAAACCUUCUAUAUAUAAGUGGAUAAUAAAUAUUGAACGUAAAACAUCCUAACGAAGGAGCAUUGGUCAGUGUACUUUGUUCUGUAGUCCUUCUCCAUAGGAAGCAGGGCCAGGGAGAAGCAUCUCUUAGAGUUGCUUGGCCCAAAUCUGUUGACACCCAAAAUUCUGAAAAAUAAAGCUGAGUCACAGCCAACAGCCUCACCACUUCAAGUUCUUAUCUAGGGGAAGACUACUCAUGCAGUAAUUAUGUUCAAAAUGAGAAGGGGAAAAAGGAAAUGAAUAAUUAGGAGCAAUUGAAGAGAUGCAAAUUUCUCUUUGUUCCAAGCUGGUGUCACAAGACGCCUCUUCACGGAGAGAAUUUCUAUCCCAUUUAAUUUGCUUUACUUCCAAGUGAGUAGAGGAAGGAGAUGUUGGGGGAGAGAGAGAGACAUAAAGAGGCAAACAAGAGAGAUAAGAGGAGAGAGGAAAGCUUCUUUCUAUGGAAAAGGAGAGUUCCUGUGAUUCUAUCAGAAAAACAGAAUAAUAAGAGAUCACCGUGAUCAGCAUCUUGUCAGUUUUGAGGAAUGGGAAAAGGAAGACUCGGAAUUCUUGAUGGAACCCCUAGUGCCACAGGGAACUGUGCCUUGCUCAUGCUUUGGGGCGAGGCAGUUUCCUGGGACCCCCAACCCAAGGCUUCUCUCCCUCUGGGCUUAUUUUUGGGUCCCUCCCCCAAACACAAUGCAGGACAGUUUGGUAAAUGGCAGCUGUCCAACUAUACAAACCUCUUAUCUUUGGCUAAAAGCUCAUAAGCAAAAGAGUUCCAUUUUACUGCCUGCUGGCUCAGCCACUGUGCCGGCCACCUUUCCUGGGUUUCAGGCACCCUGGACUCAAGUCUGGGAGUCGACCAGGGCUGGCCUGCAGGACUGCUCUAGCACCUUGCAGGGGUCUGUGUGUAGGACUCUUGGAGAAAGAGCUCCCUAGAGCUAAGAGAGCUGCUGCUCAUGUUUGCUGCUGGGGCAGGGAGCCUCUGGGACCCCAUCCUCAACUUCAGGAGCGCCCUGUGCUCCUCCCACUGGAUCUACCUUUUUCCUUCUCACCCUUGGGGCCCCAGUGUGGGGCACAAUGCCUCUCAGUACAGUAGCCAAUAGGGAUGAGGGGAGGAAAUGCCUGGGAUUGCCAUUUUGGGAGAGCUGGUGCUCUCCAUGACCCUCAAUUUGCUGGUGAGGAGGUGGAGGCUGAGGUGGUGACGGUGCCUACCCUGGUCCCCAGGCCGGGGGCAAUGGACCAAGCCUCACUCUCUGGCUGCCUGGCUCCUGGAACCCAUGCUCUCCUGCUGCCCGGAUCCUUUUGGUGAUGAGGCAGCUACACCAGCCAGAGGAUGCGCCCUGGGAAAGAAGCACAGCCUCGCUGAGUCUGUAGAGUUGGUUUUGCCACAGCAGAGACUGCUGUGCACCCUGGCAUCAUAUCCUUCUGGACUAGUCUUGGUUAGAGGAGAGAAUUUUAUAGCCAGGAAAGCAGAUCCAGCAUCUAUGGACAUGCCACACUUGUGCCAGGCUCCCCCUAUGCAUGUUAAUGGGGAGACAAAGGAGUAAUCUGAGGAAUGAGUGCAAAGGUUCAGGUAUUACAAACAGAAGCAAUAAAAUAAAUGCUUGUGUGCGUGGUCAGGAGGCAAAGAGGCAAAAAUCCAAUUUAAGAGAUUAUGCCAAGUGGAAGAAAUCCAAAGUGGAUUGUGGAACAUUAACCACUAAAGGGAAAGUAUAACAUACCCUGGUUUUAAAAAUUGCACAGAGGAUCAACACCAGCUGACUUGCUGUUUGGGGCAACAAUGAUUAUUUUCCUGAAGAGGACUGGAAUCAAGUACUGUGCUUUUCAUUGCAGUGCAUUCAGCAAAUAUGACUGAGAGGUUGUUUUUUUUUUUUUUUUUUUUGUACUGGGAUUUGAACCCAGGAGCACUUUAGCACUGAGCUACAUCUCCUGUACUCCAUUAUCUCCCUUUAAAAUUAUUUUUCUUUUGAGACAGGUUCUUGCUAAGUUGCUGAGGCUGGCCUCAAACUUGUGAUCCUCCUGCCUCAGCCUCCCUAGUUGCUGGGAUUACAGAUGCUGACUGAGAGUUCUUAGGACCCGUGUUUUCUUGAUCCUCUGAACCAGUGGUGUGCUGUUCAUGCACGUUGGACCCUGGCCUCAAACACAUCAGUGGAAUUUUAGAAGGCUGGUGAGCGAGAUUUUUCUCGUGGAAGAUAUAGAUUUGGGAGAAAGGAGCCAGGUCUUUAGGGACAAUGUCCCAGAGAGGUCUUUUGUGCCCUCAGAGGAAACCUAGCCUGGAUGGAGGAAAGGUAGAAAUCCAGCAAAAGGAUCCCAAACCGUGUGGCUCAUGAGUGACAGUAAUGAAAGAAACCACUUCACAGACCAGCUUUAAAACCUCCCUGCAUUCCCCUUGAGAGGUUCUGCUCUGGGUGACUGAGGUUUUGUAAUUCACAGUUCUUUUCAGUCACCGGUCUGCACCACCCAGGACAAACUCAUUUCAGCCAUGGAACAGAGUGGGAAUAGACAGGGCGAUUCAGAACCAAGAUGGGAACAGACAAGAACAGCUCCCUGCUGAGUGCACUUCUGGUGAAGCACUCUGCUAAGCAUGUGAUGCACACUGUCUCCCUGGGGCUGCUAACAGUCUCUAAGUCUGAACAAUGAGAAUGCUGUGGCUCUGAGAGGUUAAGUAACUAGCCCAAGGCCACACAGCCAAUGGUUAGCAGAGCUAGGAUAUAAGUGCAUGCCCUCUCCACUAUAUGGCCCUCCCAGGUGAGGCUUCAAAACUAGGUAACAGGGGGACAAGAAUUAAAAAAAAAAAAAUGGCCAUGGGUCUGUGCUAGUGAAGGCCACAUACAAUUCUGGCCAUUCCCUCCCCCUCCCCCUCCCCCUCCCCCUCCUUCUUCUUCCUUCUUUCUUCUUCUUCUUCUUCUCCUUCUCCUUCUCCUUCUCCUUCUCCUUCUUCUUCUUCUGCUUUUUCCUAGAGAAAGGUACAGAAAUGAUACAGAUGUUGGCCACAAUUGCCAGGGCUCAAAUACUGUGCACUGGAAUCCACAAAUGUAAGUGCAAAUCAGCUUACAGACAGAGCAUCCAGGCCAGUAACACAAAUAUAAGAGUAACCCGGUGAGCCAGGGGCAGUGCUGCACAUCUGCAAUUGCAGACACUCAGGAGGCUGAGGCAGGAGGACUUCAGGAGUGAAACUGCCUGGGUUCAAAUCCCACCUCCACGGCUUUCUGGCUGUACAACACUGGCCUUCGGCUUUCUCAUUCAAGGCCAUAGAGGAAGAAGCACUACUCUGUUGGGUUGCUAUGAGGCCCAAAUGCACUCAUGAGUAUGAAAGUGCUGAGAACAAUGUAACACCCUAAAUAACCAUUCAACAGAUAAUGUGUGCGAUCUCUCUCUUUGCUUAAAAAAUAGAUGAUAUGAAAGGAGGGUAAUUUUUAAAACUGAAUGAUGUGUUUAUGUGGGCUUAUUAAACUUUCUUUUUGCUUUAUAUAUGUUUGAAAUUGUCUAUAAUAAAAUUAAAAAUUUUAAAUGUCAUAUUAGUUAGGUGGGAUAUAUCUAUAUAAUAUGGGAUAUUAUAGCAGCUGGGUAUACAAAAAUAACAAGACAAUUCCCAGCAUUACGGAAUGCUGGGUAGAGUAAGGGAGAUGUACAUGCAAACUAAUAGUUUCAAUGUCACAUUAAAAAAAAUGACACCCAGAGGCAGCCAAGCUAUCACAGCAGCUCAGCAGAGGGUGUGAUUAACACUGCAAUAUGUGAAUAUGUGCCUUUUCCGGAACUCUCCCUGCCCAAGGAGUGCAUUAGCUGAUUUAAUAGCCCAAUGUGCCCAUCUCGAAGGUCCACGCUGUGGCUGUUUUCACACAUGGUAGCUAAUUUCAUGGGCUUUUCAAAUGCACGACAUUGGGUGAUUGACUUAUCCUCUUUGACCCUCGGAUUCCUUUCUGUACAAUGGGGCCAAUAACAGCCUUCCUCCUGGAGUUGGGAAGUUAAAAUUGGCAAGUAUGCAAAGCAUUUGGCACGGGGCAAGUUGUUAAGCACUCAAAUGUUGGCUGCUUUUUCUCUUCCUCUGACUCCUAAAUGACUAAGAUCACUCUUCCUCCACCCCAGAGUUUGCACCCAAUCAUCUCUUCUCUUUAAUUUAUAUUUCCAUCAAGCACUUUGCUGAAAGCCUUUUAGCGGUAACUAGAAGGGCUGAGCUCAUCAAACUUUCCAUUCCUUCCUCUGCCUCUUGGACUAAUUGAUGGGGGCUUUGGGGCUGGAGGAGAUCACGGGACACGAGGCGGUGUGAAAAGAGAACAAUAGAGAACUCGUGUUCUUUCUGAGCAAAGGACAAAAGCAAUUGUUUUUUAAUAUUUAAGAUGAAAUACUUAAGAACCUAUCCUUCUACCCAGAGAAAGAGAUCAAGGAUUCCAGGCAUCAUCUCUGGAAAGUUCCGGACCGAGCCCCACUUUUCGAGGCUACAGCGCCACCUGGUGGCUCCACCUGCAGGUCGCCUAUCUUUCGGUGGCUCCGCUUUCCCUGUUCUCUUAUUUAAGAAACAAGUCCAUAAUUUCAAACCGAAAUACAACAUCUAAUUCACUUCCUCUGUAGUAAACUGUGACAUCUGGAAAAGUUAUGUCCAUUUCGGUCCUAAUGAGAUUUUCAUGCUGGGCAAUUAUUCUUUUCUGACGGAAAGACAUGGUUUUGAAAUUCCAUUUCAGCAGCAUAAAUGUGACACAUCUGGUACUCCUCUAAAUUAUAAGGAAGCUUCCAAAAGUUAUGUUUCAAGAUGUGAUUUACACAGGUAGCCCACUCAGUUCACCUGCCAGCUCUUCUCUCUCUCUCUCUCUCUCUCUCUCUCUCUCUCUCUCUCUCUCUCUCUCUCUUUAAUGAUACUGGGGAUUGAACCCAGGGGUGCUCUAUCACUGAUUUAUAUCUUCAGCCCUUCUUAUUUAAACAAUUUUUUGACUCAGUCUCACUAAUAUGCUGAGGCUGGCCUGGAACUUGAGAUACGCCUGCCUCAGCCUUCCUAGUCACUGGGACUACAGGAGUGCACCCAGCUGUCUGUCUCCCAAAUACAAUGUGAGCAUCAUUUACCUUCCACAUCCUUCUAAUUCUCUGCUUUAUUGGCAGUAUUUACUGCCUGAACCCUGGAGGCACUCAGUGCCUAUUUGUUAAAUGAAUCAAUUAAUUUCAUCUUUAAUACUGGGCUCCUGCCCACUGAGUACCCGGCACUGACCUGUGUUGGACCAUGGACCAGGGAAGGAGAGUAAUUGUACAGAUGUGUGUGUCCUUCUUUAAACAUUUAUUUUGUAGGAGGCGGUUUGACCGCUGAUGACAAGGAUUGGCAUGUCUCCAGAGAGCUCAUUGACUGUAAUAUAAAAGCUCACCGAGUAGAUCUGCAGUGAGGCUGGACUCUGCUGGGUAGAGAUCCACAUUCUUGUCCAACAAGCUUUCCCAAGAUUAUCAAUCACUGCUGGGUCCUUUCUAAUGUAAAGGGAUGGGUGUGUGUACAUGCCCUGGUGUCCCUGUACAGGGUGACAAGAGGAAGGGUGUUUUGGUAUGGAUAUUUCUUAAGUUAUUUUUUGCUGUUUUUGGAAACUAAAAGUGCUCCAAGGCAGAGGGGGGUGGCAGAUAAAAGUCUUACUAUUGUGUUUAUGCUGUUCUCAGAACUUUUAAAUGAGAGGAAGCUAUUUCCUUAGUAAGAGCAACUGCCAGCAGAUGUCGCCAGCUCCCAAGGCAUGAAGUGCCAGCAGGGCAGGUGCACUUGAAGGUGAGGGGGAAGGGCUUGUGAUGGGAAGAGACUUGUCUUAGUACAAAAAUGUGAGUGAACUAGUGGUCUCUCUGAGCUCAUCAUAUCCUGGCACUUACUGAAGGAAAUUAGUGCUUGUCUAGUCACCUCACUUCCUUGGCUCUUAGGACUCACCUUUUAGCUAGCUUCAUUAGCCUGUUUCUACUUUGGGGUAUGUGCGUGUCGUUUGUCACCCUUUCUCCUUGGUAAUCAGGAUCUAGAGGGUGCUAGGUGUUGACUUGGGCGAGCUGUGGUUGGAGUAUCCCCAGCGCUUCUCAGCCAAGCCGUGCAGGCUUUGUGUCAGAACAGUGCCCAGAGCUGGGCAUGGGGUGUCACAACGGAACGGACCCNGCUUUUCAAAUGCACGACAUUGGGUGAUUGACUUAUCCUCUUUGACCCUCGGAUUCCUUUCUGUACAAUGGGGCCAAUAACAGCCUUCCUCCUGGAGUUGGGAAGUUAAAAUUGGCAAGUAUGCAAAGCAUUUGGCACGGGGCAAGUUGUUAAGCACUCAAAUGCUGGCUGCUUUUUCUCUUCCUCUGACUCCUAAAUGACUAAGAUCACUCUUCCUCCACCCCAGAGUUUGCACCCAAUCAUCUCUUCUCUUUAAUUUAUAUUUCCAUCAAGCACUUUCCUGAAAGCCUUUUAGCGGUAACUAGAAGGGCUGAGCUCAUCAAACUUUCCAUUCCUUCCUCUGCCUCUUGGACUAAUUGAUGGGGGCUUUGGGGCUGGAGGAGAUCACGGGACACGAGGCGGUGUGAAAAGAGAACAAUAGAGAACUCGUGUUCUUUCUGAGCAAAGGACAAAAGCAAUUGUUUUUUAAUAUUUAAGAUGAAAUACUUAAGAACCUAUCCUUCUACCCAGAGAAAGAGAUCAAGGAUUCCAGGCAUCAUCUCUGGAAAGUUCCGGACCGAGCCCCACUUUUCGAGGCUACAGCGCCACCUGGUGGCUCCACCUGCAGGUCGCCUAUCUUUCGGUGGCUCCGCUUUCCCUGUUCUCUUAUUUAAGAAACAAGUCCAUAAUUUCAAACCGAAAUACAACAUCUAAUUCACUUCCUCUGUAGUAAACUGUGACAUCUGGAAAAGUUAUGUCCAUUUCGGUCCUAAUGAGAUUUUCAUGCUGGGCAAUUAUUCUUUUCUGACGGAAAGACAUGGUUUUGAAAUUCCAUUUCAGCAGCAUAAAUGUGACACAUCUGGUACUCCUCUAAAUUGUAAGGAAGCUUCCAAAAGUUAUGUUUCAAGAUGUGAUUUACACAGGUAGCCCACUCAGUUCACCUGCCAGCGCUUCUCUCUCUCGCUCUCUCUCUCUCUCUCUCUCUCUCUCUCUCUCUCUCUCUUUAAUGAUACUGGGGAUUGAACCCAGGGGUGCUCUAUCACUGAUUUAUAUCUUCAGCCCUUCUUAUUUAAACAAUUUUUUGACUCAGUCUCACUAAUAUGCUGAGGCUGGCCUGGAACUUGAGAUACGCCUGCCUCAGCCUUCCUAGUCACUGGGACUACAGGAGUGCACCCAGCUGUCUGUCUCCCAGAUACAAUGUGAGCAUCAUUUACCUUCCACAUCCUUCUAAUUCUCUGCUUUAUUGGCAGUAUUUACUGCCUGAACCCUGGAGGCACUCAGUGCCUAUUUGUUAAAUGAAUCAAUUAAUUUCAUCUUUAAUACUGGGCUCCUGCCCACUGAGUACCCGGCACUGACCUGUGUUGGACCAUGGACCAGGGAAGGAGAGUAAUUGUACAGAUGUGUGUGUCCUUCUUUAAACAUUUAUUUUGUAGGAGGCGGUUUGACCGCUGAUGACAAGGAUUGGCAUGUCUCCAGAGAGCUCAUUGACUGUAAUAUAAAAGCUCACCGAGUAGAUCUGCAGUGAGGCUGGACUCUGCUGGGUAGAGAUCCACAUUCUUGUCUAACAAGCUUUCCCAAGAUUAUCAAUCACUGCUGGGUCCUUUCUAAUGUAAAGGAAUGGGUGUGUGUACAUGCCCUGGUGUCCCUGUACAGGGUGACAAGAGGAAGGGUGUUUUGGUAUGGAUAUUUCUUAAGUUAUUUUUUGCUGUUUUUGGAAACUAAAAGUGCUCCAAGGCAGAGGGGGGUGGCAGAUAAAAGUCUUACUAUUGUGUUUAUGCUGUUCUCAGAACUUUUAAAUGAGAGGAAGCUAUUUCCUUAGUAAGAGCAACUGCCAGCAGAUGUCGCCAGCUCCCAAGGCAUGAAGUGCCAGCAGGGCAGGUGCACUUGAAGGUGAGGGGGAAGGGCUUGUGAUGGGAAGAGACUUGUCUUAGUACAAAAAUGUGAGUGAACUAGUGGUCUCUCUGAGCUCAUCAUAUCCUGGCACUUACUGAAGGAAAUUAGUGCUUGUCUAGUCACCUCACUUCCUUGGCUCUUAGGACUCACCUUUUAGCUAGCUUCAUUAGCCUGUUUCUACUUUGGGGUAUGUGCGUGUCGUUUGUCACCCUUUCUCCUUGGUAAUCAGGAUCUAGAGGGUGCUAGGUGUUGACUUGGGCGAGCUGUGGUUGGAGUAUCCCCAGCGCUUCUCAGCCAAGCCGUGCAGGCUUUGUGUCAGAACAGUGCCCAGAGCUGGGCAUGGGGUGUCACAACGGAACGGACCCCUUAGGUUAGACUGCUCCUGCCCUCCCUCUCACACUGUUAUUUGGGGGCUUAGAAAGCCCUUUGAAGAAGCAAAGUGGCCAUGCUUCAUGUCUCCUGUGACAUCUUCUUUGAAGAGUGGCUUCUGGUUUACUUAGAAGUCACCCUUUUUAACUGCAUGGUUCAUGGAAUUGUGCAAAAGCUAAUUGCCAAGAGCGAGACUUUGCUCCUGGCCUGGCAGGCAUCGAGGACUCAUGGUGGCCGCUCUGUACUGCCUUUGAUAAUUCAUAGCACAUACAGGUCACUCACCGAUCAUAUGUCCCUGGCAGGUGUGGGUGCUGAUGGGCAUCCUGAACUUCUUCCCAGACCAGCAGAGGGAAGGCAGGCCAGCCCACCAUACCCACAACCCUGUCCUAGACCAUAUUAAAUUCCUGCCACAUUUCCCCCCACAUUUUUAAAUUAGUGCAUUAUAAUUGAAUAUGUUGAUGGGAUUUAUUGUUACAUAUUCAUACAUGCACACAAGACAACAAUAUAAUUUGGCUAAAAUCACUCCCCACCAUUUCCUCUCCUUCCCCCCAGCCUCCCACCUUUGGUCUCUUUCCUCUACUGAUCUCCUUUUGAUUUUUCCUAAGAUACACUCCACCUUUCUUUUCCUUUUUCCUCUCUAACUUCCGCAUAUGAGAGAAAACAUAUGACCCGUGACCUUCUGAGUUUGACUUAUUUCGCUUAACAUGAUGGCCCCUAAGUCCAUCCAUUUUCCUGAAAAUACCAUAAUUUUAUUUUUUCAUUAUGGCUAAGUAAAGCUCCACUGUGUAUAUAUACCACAUUUUCUUUAUCCAUUUAUCCACUGAUGGGCACCUAGGCUGGUUCCAUAGUUUGGCUAUUGUGAAUUGUUCUGCUAUAAACAUGGGUAUGCAUGUAUCACUGUAGUAAGAUGACUUCAGUUCUUUAGGAUAAAUACCAGGGAGUGGUACAUCUGGAUCAUAUGGUGGUUCUAUGCUUAGUCUUUUGAGGAGCCUCCAUACUGCUUUCCAUAGUGGUUGUAUUAAUCUGCAGUAUCACUGACAGUGUAAAAGUGUUCCUUUUCCUCCACAUCCUCUCCAGCAUUUAUUAUUGUUUGUGUUCCUGAUGACCAUUCUGACGAGUGUAAAAUGAAAUAUCAGUGUAGGUUUUUAAAAAUAUUUUUAUUAGUUGUUGAUGAAAUGUUUUAUUUUAUCUAUUUAUUUGUAUGUGGUGCUGAGAAUCGAACCUUGUGCCUCACGCAUGCUAGGCAAGUGCUCUACUGCUGAGCCACAACCCCAGCCCUCCCCUCAGUGUAGUUUUGAUUUGUAUUUCCUUAAUUGCUAUUGAUGUUAAACAUUUUUUCAUGUAUUUGUUGGCCAUUUGUAUUUCUUUUGAAAAGUGUCUGUUUAGUUCAUUUGCUCAUUUAUUAAUUGGGUUAUUUGAUUUUUCUGUAUAAAGUUUUUGAGCUAUUUAUAUAUUCUAGAUAUUAAUCCUCUGGCAGAAGAGUAGCUAGCAAAGAUUUUCUUCCAUUCUGUGGGUUCUCUCAUCAUAUCCCUAAUUGUUUCCUUUGCUGUGCAGGUUUUUAAUUUGAUGCUGUCCCAUUUAUUAACUCUUGAGACUCCUGCCACCUUUAUGUCUGUCCUGGCUUCCCCCCUCAGCCCCAAGCCAUACUGCUGGCACCCUGUUCCAUUUCCACCUGUAGGCUAGUCCGCAUUCACCUGUGCCUGGGGUGGAAUUCUAGGGCAGGCAGACAGGAGGAGUAGGGCAAGCAGCGUUCAGGGUUUCCCAUACCCUAGAUUUUGCCUGGUCCUGGGAGGUCAGAGAGCCAUUUUCAGAUGGGUAGAUUGUGGUGUCAUUUGAUGACAUUGUCUCUUGGAGCCAGUGGCUGCAGUGUGGCCCUCCCCAGGUGUCCUCAGAGUGCAGGGAUUGAGUCCAGGGCCUCAUGCCUGCCGGGCAAGUGUUCUACACUGAGCUACACUCCCAGCCCCACAGUGUACUUUUAAAUUACUCAGCUUUAAUUUCACAUUGUAUUUCUAUAUAAGUUGCUUCUAUUAACAAAGAACUUUUCUUCAUUUAGGUCCUAAAUGAAGUCUUCCUUUGACAAGGUCAGGUCCCCAAUAUCAGUCUGUACAGGAAUGGUUCAUUUGCAAAUGGCUUUCUUUCUAAAUAAGGAUGUUAAAAAGCACACUACAAAUUAUAUAUAUAUAUAUAUAUAUAUAUAUAUAUAUAUAUAUAUACACACACACACACACACACACAUACGUAUGUAUAUAUAUUUAUAUAAAUUUUUAAUAUAUUUAUAUAAAUUUAUACAUAUAAAUAUACUUAUUGCCCUAAGGAGUUGCUUAAAGUCCUAGCGCACGCACACACACACACACACACACACUCUUAUCCAGUGUGAUUCUGAAGGCAACUGAGAACAUAUUCAAUUCCAAGUGAAAAAUGCUCCAUGAAUCCAUUAGAUGAGGUUAAUACAGUUCGUAGUAAUCUCAGAUAUCUCUUAUUAUAGCCAAUCUCUUCCUAUCUUUCUCAUUCUGAAGGAUCCUUUUACAUUUUGAAUUUCAUGUUAACACACCUCAUGGUUGGAGCCACACAUUUCUGUGUGAAAAUGAGAACAUGAUGGAGAACUGCUGGUGGAGAGGGGGGUUUACACAGACAACCUCAAGAGAGGAGCAGAGCAGCAGGGACCAUUGGAUUCCAGGGGCUCUGGAUGGUGGGUGCCCAAGGUGAAGGAGGACCUCGAGGGCAGGGCAACCUGUAGGUAAGGGUCCACAGUGAUCAUUCUCCAUGGAACUGUGGACAAUGACCCUCUGAAUGAACGGACCAGUAGGCUGUGACCCUUGGGCUUGGGACUUGACGUGAUAGUGAGGAAGCUUGGCUUGUCCUUGGGUGAUGUGGGUGUUCUUUGGAUGGGCAUUGUGGGAAUUUCAGUGGUAGGUCUGCUUAUGAAGUCAUUGGCAUUGGACGUCAUAGGGACUGUGGCUCUGGUGGUCUCUAUGUUUAGAAUUUGAGUUCUUAAAUGAACAAGAUCCCAAUAAAAUACUUUUUCUGAAAUAAGAAAUGUGUUAUGAUGAAUCCUUAAUGCAUAGUUACUAUAAUAGGACAUCAAAGAGAAUAAUUUGCUCAGUUAUAUCCCAGGAGGCUGGAAUAUAAAUUAAUCUUUUCUGGCCCCAAAGUUUGAGCUAUUAGCACAAGCCACCUUUUACAUGUGCCCCUACAGCUCACCUUCUGUGACACGUCUCAGGCUAUUUGAACUAAUAAUUUUUGAAAGGAAAGGAUGGUGAGGAGACCUUUAGGUGUGUAAGAUUUGCCUUGGAUGCAUGCUCUGGCUAUCCCCAGGGCCCCAUUUAAUCUGGGUCCCCUUAGGGCUUCAAACAGUGUCCCUCUGACCUGCUGCAAAAUCUUGCAGAAGCCACAUGAGCAUUUGAUUGUGAUGGGUUCUUCCUCUUCAGAGUGGCUGCAGGAGCCCUGAUUCAUUCACACGGGCAAGCAAGUGGCCUGAUCAAUGCUCCAUCAUGUGGAGCAGCUCCAGUAGAGGCAGAGAUCUUACACUUUGGUGCCUACACUUCUGGGACUUUCAGCUCUGCUUCAUGAUAUUGAACAUUUUCUUUUCCUUCCUCCUUCUUUCCUUACAUCUUUUCUUCUUCGCAGUGCUGGGGAUGUAACCUAGGAUCUCAUGUAUGCUAGGCAAAUGCUCCACCACUGAUCUACUUCUGUAGCCCCAUUGACAUUUUCAAAAAUUAAAAAAAAAAAUCAAUUGCCAUGGAGCCGGCUCUAUCUAGCACAUUAUUAAUGGUCCUGGAGCUGACUAAUCAUAUUUGCCCAACCUUUUGAUAAACAGUUUCUACAACAUCUAGGGUAGAAAAGAAAGCACACAUCCCGUCGACCAGGACAAACUUGAAGUAUUGACCUCUCUCUCCCCACAUGCCCCACUCUUGAAACACAUUUAGAGUCUGGCACCAGGGUAGUCGAUCAUUGUUCCCACAUCACCAGGUCCUGACCGUGUUUUGCUGCAAUAGCGCUUUGCCUCUUUCUGUGAAAAUAAUUUUUCAAGAUUUCUUGAGGUUGGGGAUAUCCGCAGCUGAUUCUUGGGGAAGGACAGCCAUGAUAGGGACAUCAGCUUGUGCCCAGGUGCUCCUGAGUGAUCUCUUCUUGGCUCUCUGGAAGGGGGUUGCUAUAAACUCAAGAGGAGUAGCCAGGUCCUCCCAGGGCACUAACUAGACAACGCUCCUCCCAGGACAGACCUCUCAGUGCAGAGGUUUCCAAGGCUUCAUUAAGCUCCUUUUUGGUUUAGACUCUGUCCUGUUUGUGGGAAAAGGCAGGGAGAGCCAGAACGCUGCAUCAGAGGGACCAUCUUUUCAGUCUACACCCUGGUUAUGCUCCUCUCCUGGCUUGUGAACACAACAUACUUUUGGUCCUUACCUGUUGUGACAGAAGCAGUGGCUGCUGGGUGGCAUACAGACACUGAUUUUCCUCUGUCUCCUCUUUGCUUCAAAAUUUGAAACAUAAAUUCAUUGGUUAAUUGUGCAACUGCCCCCCCCCCACCUCACUUGCAUCUGCUGGAAUGGUUAAUAAAAUUCAAUGUAUAAUGGCAAUACCACCUAGGGAUUAAGCUCAGUGGGUGGAAGAGUGUUCGCAUUGCAUAUGGAAGGCCCUGGUUUUGAUUCCAACACUGCAAAAGAAGCAGUAAAAAAAAAAAGGCUAUAAAUAAUAACAGUAGACAGGAUAAAGGGACAAGGGUGUAGAUCUUAUAGAUACAUGGAUAUGAGUUCAUUUAUUCAUUCAACAAACCUUCACUGAGGGACUUCUAAAUGCCAUUGAGCUGUGUCACUCACCCAAAUGUAACCAUGGACUAAUAUCUUAAGCCCCGGAGCCAUGGGACCUCGUCUGUGACAAGGUAGACAAUGUUACCUGUGGGUUUCCAUGAAGAUUAAAUGGAUUAUGUAACAGGGUCAGCACUUGGCAGUGAUCAAUAAUUUUUUUUUGUUUCUUCAUUUGGUCCCAAGGCAAGGGAGGCAGUUUUGGAGAAUAACGUAGACUCAUGAAACCCCAAUUUGUUAGUCGAAUGAGCCUGAUGGAGACAUAGGCACCCUUCUGUACUUAUCAGAGUGUAAAAAAGCAAGGCCUCCAACCAUGCUUCAUAUCUCUGAAAAGUUUACUUUACCUGGGCAAACAUGUGGUAUCAAAGAAACAAAUAAGAGAAACACAAAAGUUCAGCUCUUUAAGGUGGGAAUUAAUUAGACCUCACUGAAGUCAUCAACCGGGCCUCUCGAUUGUCAAGUUUAGGGUAAGAGGGUGGGUGCAGUCUUGGACUGGGAACCAGGAGCUCUGGUUUGACCCUAGCCAGGGUUCCUGCUUGCUCAGGAAGACACAUGACUUUGAGCUUAGGCUCCCAGACUAGGGCAAACUUCCCUUUGAACAAGGAGGGGUUAGUGCUGAGGAUCGAGGAGCCACCCUCCCUUCCUUUCCUUCUUCCAGAAUGUUCCCUGAGUAGCUCCUCUGUGUCGGACCCUAUGCUGGACACUGGGGAAACUGAGAUCAAUGAGAACCAACUGAGCCAUGAUGGAGCUGAUGGGGGCCUUGGGUAAGACAGACAUGAAAACCGGAGGGAUGGCUUCUCUACCAGGUCUGGCUCCCGAGGGACACAGGUGUUCCGUGAAUUCACAGCAGAAGCCACCAGUAGUGAUUACUGAUUUCAGCUCCAUUCUGUAAAGGCAGCUGAGAACCAGAAGAGAGAUGCCAGAAAGUUAUUCAUGUGGGAGAGGAAUGUUUUCUAUGUGUUAGGAAUUCAGAAAUAAAAUGCCUUAGUAAGGAAUCCUAUCCUGACAAGUGAAGAGCUGUUGGCACAGGCCACCAUUACUGGCAGAAACUGUACCACUGACAGAUACGUGGUUGCAUGACCUGAUUAUCCUGCCGUCCAACUUUCUGGUGCUAAUGAUGUAGUCAACAUUUUGUCUCAGAUGACUUCUUAGUUUUCUACUGAAAGACACAGUGUACAGAUUGCUGCUUGAGUCUGAAUUUAGACAAUAGUAGUGUUCUGUCUUUUAUUGUAGAUACACUUAACACAAAAUUCACCGGCUUAACCCUUUUUAGGUGGUACUGAGUACAUUGAUGUUGCUGUGAGCAGUCUCCACCUUCCAGCUCAGAAACUUCUUUCUGAUCUGAAACUCUGCAUCCAUCGGACAGUGGCUCCCCACCUGGCCUCCCCCUGCCCCUGGCCCAUGCUCCAAGUGCCUCACACGAAAGGAGGUGUACAGAAUCUGCAAUGCAAGGUCAGACACCUUAUCCUCUUUGUCCUGUGUGGGAAAAGGGCUGGGCAAACCCAGGGGACAGUUUCCCAUAGGUUGAGACAGAUUGUCCUUGGUCCCAACCACUAGGGCGACUCCAUAGUCAGAAGACAAAGCUAUCCAUGGGGAAGGACUAAUUCCUCAUGGGGGUUCCCACACCUACGUUAUCCUCCCCAAAAGGUAAGUGCAGGCUGUGUUCCUGUGGUGAUUCUGCCCAGGGGUCACCUUUAUGGCCCACUAAAGGAAAGAAUUGUGGAUAACUUCAGAGCCAACAAAUGCUUUCUUAGUCAUGGAACAUUGGAGGGCCCCAUAAGUGCACAAAUCCAUCUUGAAUUCUGAGCCUAACAGGUGACCCUGCACACCUGCCUCCCCAUUUGCCUGGCUCAUGCCUCCUUGCCCAGUAAGUCCUGGGUCAGGUGUUGCAUCCUGCAGCAGGGACUCAUCCUAUGAGAUUUAGUGCUCUCUGGUUACCUGUAUGGAAUUCCUUAUGAUGACUCAUUGUCCCUUUGCUGGUCAACCUCUCCUAGUGGGACAUAGGCUCCUGUGGGUCAGGGACCACCGCUCUUUCACUGUUUAUCCCAACGCCUGGUGAUGGUGGACACCUGGUCUCAGGUAGUCCACGUUGAGGCAGAGUCUGAGCUUGGAUCCUUAGUGCAAGUGAUUGAUGAAAGCAGCGCGUUCAGUGGGGAAAUUAGGCAGCGGGAGAGCAAAGCAAAAUUGUGGUUUCAGCUGAACACCCCUCGGACAGCAACGGAACACAGAUGCACCACAAAGUUGUCCCACUGUUGGGCAGGGGCCAGUUUUGUACCUGAAUGAGCCAGUCAUCGGGUAUAACCUUCCAGGCAUUUCCAGGUGACAUGAAGCCCCUCAGCAGAGCGCAGUGGUGUGAAGGCUGUGGCCGGGCUGGCAGCUGGCACUCACACACCUGGGCAUGCGCAGGAACCAAGAGUGCUAUGGUACCGUGUAUCUUUGCUAAAUAAAUACUUGUCCACAAUAAUGACAAAAACAAAAUCAGUUGUUACUUAGUGAACUUGCCUCUGAGCCAGGCAAUGUCCUGUAUCUUUUAACCUCAGAGUUUCAUUCAUUCUCUCCACAACAAUCUCUGAGGUAGGUGCUGAUGGUGGGAAUGAAGAAAUUGAGACCCAGCAAAGUUAUGUGCUUGCUCAAGAUGCACAGGUCGGGUGGCAAACACCAAGGCUUGAGCCUAGAUUUAGUGGCCUUUAUCCCAAGUGAUUUGGGAGCUUGAUAAAGUCUGAGAAGCAGUGGGGAAUGAGACCUCCCUCCAUUAGUACAAUUUUGGUGUGGGCUGUUUCCUUUGUCAACUUACAUUUGUUCCAUUUGAGCCUUUGCUAACCUGCAAUGUUUUCAAACUGGUAAAAACAUUUAAUUAACACCUUGGUCAAAUGCCACUCCCCCCAGGUAGCCUUCACCUUCCCUUUAGAAGUCUCUCUCUUUUUGUGUGUGUGGUGCUGAGGAUUGAACCCAGGCAAGCACUCUACCAACUGAGCUAUAUCUCCAGACCAUCAAAUCUCUCCUUUCUAUCAAAGGUGUCAGAUGGCUUCAGGCUGAUUUCGUCUUUGGUGCCUGCAGACAAGAGUCCUUGACGGUGGUGGACUUGGGGGUCCAGGAGAGAACAGCUCUUGCAUUCCUGGGCCACUCCCUGUUUUCUUACCUCAGCCCCCGGAGAUGUCCAUGUCAAUACUUCCUUGCAGCUUUAUCUGUCCCAGGUCCCAGGCCACAGCAGUAUUUGUCCAAAUUAGAGUCCGUUUACUUUGCAAACCACACUCAAGCUUUCCUAGACACUGAGCAGCUGCUCCCCUGACGUCCCCAGCAGGACUCUUGUUUGCACUGUAUGUGGUCAGCAAACAGACCGCCUUGAACAAGCCACCGGCAGUGUUUCGCUGCCGGGAUGGGAGCAGCAGGCACUCGGAAGACACUCCUGGCUUUUUCCUAACAGACGGCUACCUUGGUUCAUCCUUUUGAAACAUGGAAAAUACAUCCAGGAAUAAAGCAUUUGCACCAAAGUGUACAAAAUUGCCUGCAUAGAGCAGAAAGAACAAUAGUGCACCCAGCAAGAAGUAGUAGCUACUUGGCCUUUCCUCUGCCGGAACUUCCUCUUGUUCUCAGUAGGAAGAAGCCCAGCAGAGUGGCUAUGAAGACAGUCUCAGCAGAAAGACCACCUGGAGUUUUAAUCCCCUGACAGGGGCUUAACCUUUCCUCACCUGUCAAAUAGGGAAAAGAAUCCUGUUGGGAGAAUUAAAUUAAUAAACUUAAGACACUUAGAACAAAGACCAGAAUGCAAGCAAUUUUCAUUAAAUAAUAGCAUUUAGGAAUGCAUCUCAAUUUUUGAUGGGUCCAUAAACUGAAAUUAUCAUAAAUUGAAAAUGUGUUUAAUCCAUAUAAGCCACUGAACCUCAUGGCUCAGCAGCGCAGCACACUGUAGUGUCACAGUUUUCCCUGGUGAUGGUGGGAACUGACCUGGAGCUGCGGUGUCUGCUGCUUCCCAGCCCUUUGAGACAGGAUCGGAAGGCAUAUCACCAGCCCAGGGAAAGAUCCACUUUCCAACUUUCAAGUACAGAGUCUACUGAAUGUGUAUCACCUUCACACCAUCAUGAAGUCAAACUCCCCUAAACUGAACCACUCACUGUACGUCGGGAAACUUCUGUAUUUGUUCUGGCUGGCUAAAGGCACCAAGUCAGAAGAUUGAGUUGGUGCUGAUGCAUUGUUAGGGAUCCUUCCAGAUGGGGAAUUGGCAGCGUAAAACACAUGUCGGUACUUCUCCUUAGACAUGGCGGAGAGUUUGGCUGGCAUAAUCAGAUACUGUUCCUGAUCCAGAGAGGCUGAGUGACAACUGCUGGCUGCCCGGGGCUCUGGUUCUGUGCUUAUGCUGCUGCAUUACCCCCUUGGUCCUUCCCCUUCCCCUUCUACACAGCCCAGAAACUGUCUCCUGACCCAGUAAGAGAGUAUUUGUCUGUGUAUCCCACUGUUCUUAACAUUUGUGCAGUCAAAAGAUUCCUCAUAUGUUUUUUGGCUCGGUCUUGCAAAUGCCAGAUAGAUACUUAGUGCUGAACUAGGUGUCCUUGGGCCCUCUGUGGCCCUGCCCUCUGAAUAUUUGGCCAAGCCAUGUGGCUAUAAUCAGCAGCAAAAUAUAGUGGGAUUCAUGAGAUAAUGCUGGCAGGGUGGAUGUGCUCCUUCUUGGGUUUGCGCGACCUGCAGGGUGGCAAGCUGCGACCUGCAGACUCCGCCCUUGUCAGACCAAGCGGCCAUCUUGGCCACCACGUUUCUACACCUCCUCUGAGGAGUGCCCUGUAGAAUCCUGACUUGCAAACAGGGGCUGGGCAAGGGAGGAGACUUUGAAACAUCUCCAGGAAUUCUUCUCUGGAAAGGAGUGCUAGAUGAGGGAUCUGCCAAUGAGUAAUUGACUUGUCACACCCCAGUCCCCAAACCCAGCCCCAGACAUUCUGGUGCCUAAAAGUGUCAUUUCCUGGCAAAGGUGAAGAAAGGGUCAGUUUCUACCUGUCAUUUCUUAUUCAGUGAGCUCUUGACCCACAAAGCAAACACAUGCCCAGCCUUGCAUCCACAGUUAGAGGAUUAUCCUUGACUUACACUGGCCCAGACCGGCUCUGGUGGAGCUGGCAUCUGCCAUGAACCUCCCAUUUUAUUUGAUGGCUUCCAUUUGGUAGGUAUUUAUAGAUGCAGCUAAUCCCCUCAGGUAUCAUUAUGCUCAUAAAAUGCAGGGGAAAAAAUAGCAUAGCCCCACCUACUUCUCUAGUGCUCUUAGGUUCAGUUAAUCACUUUCUUCUGAUUCACCCCAGCUUUCUUUAUUCUAGGAAUGAGCAGUAGGUGGCGCUGUGUAGCCACAAAGCACCUCCACCGGUCCUGGUCUUGUAACACCUGGCCAUCUGCCGGUGGGUUGGUUACAAGACCUAUUCUCACAUGGAACUCCUUAUAUGAACCUAUAGAACCCACGCACAUCCUCCUACACACUUUAAAUCAUCUCUAGAUUACGUGUCAUAUCUGAUAGGAUGUAAAUGCUGUAUAAAUAAUUGUUAUGCCUAUUGUUCAGGGGAAAAUGAAAAAUCUGUACAUAUUCAAUACAUACACUUUAUCUCUCCAAGGUUGGUUGAAUCCUCAGGUUCACAACCCAUGGAGAUGGAGAGCCAACUGCACUGGUUUCCCAGGGUCCUCUGUCGCCUGACAGCUUGCUCUACUGGUAGAAAGUUGGUGCUAGGCUGUUUUAACUCCAGAAAUCUACCUGGACCUACCUGAACCAGAGUUCAUGGAUGAAACUGCUGUGUUACAAUACCAUUCUUGUGAAGUCCAGGAUGACACAUUUAACAAUAUCUUUUGUGACUGACAUGAGCAAUGGCUUUUUCCUUGAAGUGAUAGUGAAUAUACUGAUUUGGGUUAAAUCACUAAACAAUAUUGCCACCAAAAUUUUAUACUCUUGUAUUUCUUCAAUUCAUUUGAAAAUUGGUUCAAAUUGCUGUAUCAUCUAGGAAUUUUAAGUUUAAUCCUUUAAAGAAUUUCCUUUCCCCAAAUUAGUUGAAAGCCUCAAGUUUUAAUUACACAUGUAUGUGUUUAGUUUGGAGGGAAGAAUGGUGUCAAAAACAAUGCCUCUAAUGAGUCUUUUUUUUUUAAACCACAUUAACUGAAGAAAAACAUUAGAAAACAAUACUUAGAAAUAUCGUCUGGGUUUUUGGUUUGGAUAAUUUUUUGCAAUGCUUUUUUUUUCUAGUUUUUACAUAGACCUACCAUUGAAUAGGAGAAAUUUUGAUACCAAUAACAAUAAAAAUUUACUGCCAACAACAAAGCAAAAAAGUGAAAAACAAAAAUGAUGUGCCCAGUGUGUAAUAAAUAAAUAACAUUAAAGAGAAAAGCUGAUACUAUUUGGGAAAGGGCUUUGCAGAUUAUAAAUUACCAUCUUAGGGUCAGUAGAGAAAACUUGUAUUGAAACACUUUCUAAGAUGAAGGACAAUCACGAAAAGACAGUUUUCUGUGGGUUUCCCAGGUAUGGGUUAAAUAUCCCUAAUCCCCAAAUCCAAUUUCUGAAAUGCUUAAAAUUUCAUGAAACUAUACAUCGAGAAUUCACUACUGGUGGAUUUGGAUAAUUUAAGAAUCACAUAAGAGAGGCUCACUCAGCCAUCAGGUUUGAUAGCAAUUUUUUUUUUUGCAUUUGUUUUAUAGUAUAGCUCUCUUUAUCUUGACACAAAGGAGCACUUGGCAAAAAGUCAUACUUCUCAAAUUUUUAAAAAUCUAUUGUAUAUCUUUUAUUAUAUAUUUUUUACCAUAAUAUGUGACAUUUAUUAUGUCUAUUAAUUCAUUCAGUGUUCUUACUCUAUGUAUUAUAUAUUGUUGACAUCAUUUUCAGAUAAGGAAACUAAGUUUUGCAUAAAUAAUAAAUGACAUUAAAAACCAUGAGGUAUGAAAGUAGAAAUUUAUAUAAAAUUUAAAAAGGAAUUUAAAAAUUUACAAAUUUUACAAAGCUGUCGAAAUAACACUUCCCUCCAUAAGAUUCUCUACAUUAAAAAAUUGUGAUGGAAUAUGUUUAACAUAAAAUGUCAGUUUAGCCGGGCCCAAUAGCACACACCAGUAAUCCCAGCUUCUUGGAAGGCUGAGACAAGAAGAUUUCAGGUUUAAGGCCAGCCUGGUCAACUUAGUGACACCCUGUUUCAAAAUAAAAUUUUGAAAAGUGGGCUGUGGCUGUAGCUCAGUGACAAGCACUUGCUUAGCAUGCAAGGCCUUGGGUUCAAUCCCCAAUACUGGAAAAAAAAUAGAGUCAUUUUAACCUCUCUUAAAUGUACUGAUCAGUGACAUUAAAUACUUUCACACUGGUGUGCAACCAUCACCACCCUCCAUCUCCAGAAAAUUUUCAUGAUCUCAAACUAAAACUCUGUACCCAAUUAAACACUAACUCCCCAUUGUCUCUCUACUCCAAUUCCUGGAAAAUACCAUUCUACUUUUUCUAUGUGGGGUACCAGUCUAGGUACCCAUAUGAGUUGAAGUGCACAGUAUUUUUUUUUGUUUGUGUGUGUGCAGGGAACCACACAGCAUUGUUACUUUGUGACUAGAUUAUUUCACCAAAUGUAAUGUCUUCAGGGUUCAUCCAUGUUGUAUGAAUUUUCUUCCUUUUGUAAGUCUGCAUAAUGUUCCAUUGUAUGAUGGUUUACCCGUCCAUUCAUCGAAGGACACUUGAAUUGCUUCACCUUUUGGCUAUUGUGCAUAAUGCUGUAGUGAACAUGGGUGUAUGAAUAUCUGAGUCCCUGCUCUCACAUUUUUUGGGGGGUUUCAUAUCCACAGGUCAAAUUGCUGGAUCAUCUAGGAAUUUUAAGUUUAAUCCUUUAAAGAAUUUCUAUUACUGUUUUCUACAGCAGCAGCACCAUUUUAUAUUUCGUGUAAGAAACAAGUAUUCCAAUAUCUCCAUGUCUUUGCCAAUAAAUUUUUUCCUGUUUUUUUUUUAAUGAUACCUAUCCUUUGAAAAGACCUCACAUGUCUUUUUUUAUGGGAUUGGUGAAUUAAUACUAUUAAAAUAGCCAAACUACCCAAAGUGAUCUAUAGGUUUGAUGCUAACCCCAUCAAAAAUACCAAUGACAUUUCUCACAUAACUAGAAAAAAAACAAUCCUCAUAUUCAUAUAGAAGCACCAGAGAUCAUGAAUAGCCAAAGUAAUGCUGAGCCAAAAGAACAAUGCUAAAAGCGUCACAAUACCUGAUUUCAAAAUAUGUUACAGAGAGCUAUAGUAACAAAACCAGUAAGGUGUUGGUAUAAAAACAGAUAUAUAGAACAGAAUAGAGGACUCAGAAAUAAACCCACAUAUCCAAAGCCAUUGAUUCUUGACAAAAGUGCCAAAAAUAUAUACUGGGGAAGUCAGACUCUUAAAUGCUGCUGGGGAAACUGGAUGUCCAUCUGUAGAAGAUUGAAACUAGAUCCUUACCUCUCACUCUACACAAAGGAACUCAAAAUGGCUUUGAGGCUUUAAUGCAAGACCUGACACUUUGAAACUACUAGAAGAAAACAUAAGGGAAACUCUCCAAGAUAUGGGCCCAGACAAUGAUUUCCUGAAUAGGACUCCAAUGGCCCAGGAAACAAGACCAAAGAUUGACAAAUAGGAUUAUAUCAAAUUAAAAUCUUCUGCCCAAUAAAGGAAACAAUCAGGAGAGUGAAGAGUCAGCCUACAGAACGGGAGAAAAAUCAUUGCCAGCUAUUUAUCUGACAGAGGAUUAAUAUCCAAAAUACAUAAAGAACUCAAAAACUUAACAAAAAAACUUAAGUAAGCCAAUAAAAAAAUGGGUAAAUGAUCUGGACAGUUACCAAAAGAAGUAGAAAUGGCCAAUAAACAUAUAAAAAAUAUUUGAUGUCUUUAGCCAACAGGGAAAUGCAAACUAAAACUAUAUUGAGAUUCCAUCUCACCCAAGUCAGAAAUAAUAAAAUAACAAAUGCUGGUGAUGAUAUGGAGGAAAAGGAACUCUUAUACACAGCUGGUGGGAAUUUAAAUUAGUACAGCUGCUAUGUAAAAAGAGCAGAAUUUCCUCAUAAAAACUAGAGACAGAAUCACCAGGUACCCAGGUAUUCCAUUCCUUGGUCUAUAUCUAAAGAAACGAAGUCCAUGUAUAGAAGAGAUACCUGCAUGCCCUUGAUUACUGUAGCACUGAAGUGAAAAUAUGGAAACAACCCAGGUGCCCUUUAACAGUUUGGAAAGUAAAUCACUUCAUUUUUUUUAAGUCCAAGGUUCCCUUUGAACAAAAUAAGACCAAAACCGUCCUGAGCAUCUGUGAACAUCACAUGAGACAAUGCAUUUGUAAACAGGGGGGAAAAACUCUAUAGAAAUUGCUGGACUGUUUUGAUAAAAUUAGCAGGAAUGGGACAACAUAUGCCUACAGCGGGUUUUUACAAGGCUGGAGUGACUCUGGAUAAUGUCACCAGAUCUACCAGACAUUGGGCAUUGUGUGGCUGGGAUCUCCGGUAGAGGUGUCGGGGAGUGUCUAUCCACUGUUCCCUGAAGACCAGGGCAAAGAGAGAGAAUGACCCAUGAAAAGGGAAUACUGGCUUUGAGUUCCCUCUGUGUCAACCUGGGGACUCUUCAUUGUCAAAAUGUAUUUGUUCACGGGAUUCUAGAGAAAGCCUUGGAAGGAUGGGAUCAGGCUGCGACGGGCGAGGAGGUGUCAGACCCUGGCGUUUUCUAGACAGGCUGCUUGAAGACCACACAGGCCCUGCUUACACCUUGGUCCACAGGUGGGUUUCGCGCCAUUCAGAACCUUCUUCAGAGAACAGAACAGGGAAGGUGGAGAUUGAGAUUGAGAGAGAGACAGAGAUUAUCUGAAUGUCCUUUCUGAGAGAGAGACAGACAGACAGACAGACACACUAUCUGAAUGUCCUUUCCUCGUUGGUGUCUGGUUGUCUCUUCUCCAGGUGGCCACUCCAUACAGCACAGUGGAGGGUAGACCUGCCUAGAGAGGAGCCUGACACACAGUGGGCAUAUUUCAAAAUUAAUCAGAACGUGACUGUCUCCUCAGUUCCCUGUCUGGGAAAUGCAGUGAUCCCUAUAUCCGUUUGGAAUAGGAACGUUGGUGCAGAGAACCUCACAGCCCCUUCUUCACAUCUCCCUGAAUGCCAGCCUCAAGUGAGAAGCCAGCCCCACGUCUAAUCAGUCCUACCACCAGGCUCGGGGAGAAAAGGAACCCUCUAGCAAUUCCAGAGUCCUCCAACCUCGAAACGGUUGAAAUGGUUUGCUUUAAAAACUGAACUACUGAUUCAAGAUAAUCUAAGUCAAAAUGCCAGCAUUUUUUUUUGAAUUGAUAAUCUGUUUGUAAAAGUUAUGUGGAAGUACAAAGGCCCGAGAAAAGAUGAGACAUUGGUAGAGAACAAAAUUGAAGCUUCUACACUAUCAGAUAUCAAGGCUUAUCAUAAGCAAAUAGUAAUUAAAAGGAUGUAGUAUUGAGGCAAGAAUAGAAAAAUAGUCAAAGGAACAGAAAAAAGAGUCCAGAAAUAAGCCCACACAUUAAUAGGCACCGACUGCAUCUAUGGCAGAAACUCUGGUGCAGAGAAGAGGAAAAGGAUCGUCUCCAUAAUUGACAUAAAGGCUAUUUGUUACCCAUAUUAAAAAGAAGGAAAAAUCUUAAAAAAAGAAUUCUAUCUUCCCCUUUCCAAAGGGCUGAGCCAGCCUCAACAAACCUUAGAGAAAUCUCAUGUUCUCCAGGGCUGCCUCAGUGCUUCUCCCCAUCCCCGCAGACCAAGAGCAAGAGAGGAGCAAGAAUUAACACUGGCCUGAGAAAGGCGGCAGGCUAGUGACUGCCAACAAGGAUGCUGGCUCAGAGCUUAUCUGGAUGGGCACCUGGGGAGCAGGCUUAGUGUCUGCAGCAGAGUCUGGGUGUCCCUACAACCGGCAGGGCCCCUGGCAAACAGGAACAAGAUGGCGGGUAAGGAGUUUAACUGCCUUCUCCCUCCCCCAGUGACCGUCCUUCAGACAACAGGGUGGCUGGAGGUACAGAAUAGGACCAGGGUGUCUUUCUUUAUCCCAAUACAGCUGGCCUGGCCUUUUUGAGGGAACACAGAGAUGCUGAGCAGGUGAACACCCUAGGGACAUCCUCAGACCCCAUUUUCACUCCUGGGGACAGGACAUGCUGAAACUAAACCCCAGGGACACUCAGAUUCCUGUCUCAUUCCCCGAACUCCUGUCAAAGGAGCCAAUCUGCAGCUGAGGGGAACCAGAUGUUUUGAGGCCGCAUCCUCCUGCCCAGCAGUCGGCUGGAAGGCCUCUCUUAAAAGCCUGGGUACCUGGCUGAUGGGGGUGGGGAGGAAGGAAGAGAGUGGGAGAAAAUUAGACAAAGGAAGACUACCAUAAAACCAGCAGCAUGUCUGUAAUCACCAGAGCCCUUUGUUUAGAGCGGGUUUAAACAAGUUGGGAUCCUUUGGAAGGGGGGCCAUAAACCCAAGGGAAAAUAAAAGUGUUUACAGCAAAGGAGACCCAGGUGCUGUGGGAUUCGUUUGGCCAGGAUCAAUGGGGGAGUGGCGGGGAGCAGGCCUGGUCUGCACUGAGGCUGAGACUGGCUUCCUCUCUGGGCUGGGCUGGCUCCCAACAUCAGAGCAUCAAACCUAGAUGGGGGAGGGGGAGGUGCCCCCACCACCUCCACUUCAGGCAUCCAGGAACCAUCCCACAUUCCAACUGGGGAAAGCAGGGACAAGAGGGCAGGGUGCCAGUGGGGCUUUGGGACUUGGAAAAGUCAUCGCCCUGGGCCCAGGAGGUCUCUCUACUGCACAAAUUCCUUUAUAAUGGACUCAGGGAGGUACAAUAAUAAGAGGUUUGAAGACAGUCCGAUUCUCUAAGAAAAAAGUGCCUCUGGGUUCCAAUUUAUCAGAUGGGAAGGUGUAAGGAGGGAGGUUUUGCCUGAGGAAACGCAUUCCUCAGGGAGCGACAGGCAGGUUGUGGGUGCUGAGGGGAAGGAUGUUUGUGAAAGUAAAGCUGAAGGUGGUUCUGUUGGAAAUGUCUAGAAGGCCUCGCCUGACCUGCUCUGCACACCCUCCCCCAUGUGCUUCCCGUGCAGCAUUAACAGUGCUGAUGACCAGCGUCCCUGUCCCCAUUUACCCACUCAAAAUUUAGCCUGCAUCUAUUUUAGGCCAGGCAAACAAGUCAGGGUCCAUAGAGACACAGGACACAGUCCCUGUCUUAAAAGUAGGUCAGCUUGGAGAUGGCUAGCAAUAGCAUGUUCAGAACAUGUAUGCAUGUAUAUAUAUGUUCAUGUUUUGAAGACCAUUAAUUCUCCCCAAGAAUAUAAGUGCCCAUGUAACAUGAUGCCUUUAGGGAAUGACAGUACCAAAUAAAGCUAAUGACUCUUGGAUGUAUACUGUGCUAUGUCAUCAUAGUGAAAUUUGUUGUUUGGGUUCUGCAGGAAAGGUUGGCAGACUUUGUUUUACCAAAAAAAAAAAAAUCACACUAAGGUUUCAUCCAUACUCAAAAGGAAAGUGAGUAAUCAGAAGCACAGGGAAAAAUCUACCUGGUCUCUUUUGCCCAUAAGACAUCUGUGUGACUCUUUAACUUGAAACAGCUGUCAAGGGGUGUGACCAAAUGUGGACCUCUUAAAGAUAAGUCCAGUGGGAUCCUUCUCUUCUGACAUUCAUGUACUUGGUUCUUGGAUCUGCCUUGUGUGUUGAAGCGGUCAGCUUUCUUCCAGAAUACCCAAUAUGUUUCUUUAGCAGGAGAUCCGGUCAAAAAACAUGCAAAGAUGCCUGUUCCAUCUUUAAAAUUCCAUUUUUCAUAAUUUGAUUUCAAAAGCAUUUUGGUCCAAGCUUUGGCCACUCAAGUGACCUCCCUAGGACUAUUUUCUGAUUCAUAAAAUUGAUUAACUUAUGAACUCUGAGCUCCUGAUUAGCUAACAAGGAAAAAAAUAAAUAAAUUCUAAGUAACAAAGUUGUCUGGUCAUGUGCACUUUAGGAAUGACAUUCUAUCCACUUUGGGGAAAGUAUUUUGCAUGCCCUGAGCCUUUGGUGACAUUCAGCAUUUAUGGGGCCUUGGUGUAAGAGGUCUUUCAUCUCAUUUAGAGCUUGAUGCAAAUAGCAAUCCUCUCUCAAAGCUCAGCUCCCUGGGGAGAGGCCCCAGAGACAGACCUUGUGCAUCUUUGAGUCCAAAGGGUGGCAGCAGCUUCUUCCCCCAGGGCUGGUAUCUUUCUCCUUCAACGAAGGUACUGAGUCAUUGUGCCAGGUCAGGCAGCUCCCAGAGGAGGACACAGCCACCAAAAGAACUGGAGGUAGCUGGUUGUAAGGGAGUACAUGGAGAUCAUGCCCCUUGGACCUGAAAAAUCAGUGUUUUGUGAGAGAAGAAAACACAGUGCAAGGAAAGGGCAGGAGCUUAGAAAUUAGGCCAGAGAACCCAGGAGUCAAGGCCACGCUCCACCUGCAUGCUCUGUACUUGGCACACCUGUUCCUAAGCCAGGGCAUUUUACUCUCCUUCCAAGAUGUGCUUGGUGGCAUGCUGUGCCGGAAUCAGCUGGCAGACAAGGGGUGAACUCCAGCCCUUCUCUUUUCAUUAUGGCACAUGAUGUAAAACUUUAGUUUUAUACUUGAUGGAACACGAACAUAACUGAGUAGCAAGUGUUCAUGGAUAUUACGUCGAAAACAUGAUCUUUAAAGACAGUGCAAAUUUGCCUGGGCCCAUCUCAGCCUGUGCCCAUCCCUGUGCCCAAAGUCCUGCAUUGUCCCAGCUCCCCUGGGAACUCCGAGUCACAGCCACCAACCCCAUAAGUUCAGCAUGCCCUAGACAUCACAGGACAGACACACGUCAGCAGUGAUUAGACGUGGAACAGGGUUUAAUUAAGUGCUGAAUGCUGUGUGUUUUAUUAUAUUUUAUUUAGAUGCUGUGGAUCGAACCCAGGGGUACUUUUCCACUGAGCUACAUCCCCAGCCCUUUCAAUUUUAUUUUAUAAUAAAUAAAAAUCUGUCUCAGAAUGAUUCAACGACUCAGAUCCGAAUUUGAACUUUAGGCGGACAGAGUCGGAGGUCUCAGAUACCCUAGUCUCCGUUCACGGUAGUGAACCUCGACUUACGACACUAGUCAUAAUCUUUAUGUACUCCUAAAACUGUCCUUCUACAGACCUCCCGGACCCCCAGUGUCUUCACAAAACACCGUUCCGUCUACACCUACCCACGUCUCCUCCCCAUCCGUGAGAUACGGGACCUCCACCCAUUGUCCUCGGUCGGACUCCUUUCAGGACGACCGUCUCCUCCAUCUGGUGACUACCGUUCUAUCCCUUUGUCCCGUACUUCAAACCUAUAGUACUCCGUCCGUCACUCUCAGUACNAGGAGCCAGCCUGAGGAAAGUCCUGCUGGCAGAGGAGGUAGACCACUGAUGGCAAGAUAGGGAAACAGGGCAUGAAGUUUGGAUAUCAUGAGGCAGGCAGUGAGAGUCAUGAAUGGGUCAUAGGAGGAGCAAAGGGUUAGGAGCAUGAACUCUGGAAUACACCACAGGGUUGAAUCUUGGCAUGGUCACUUUCUAUCUGCAUGGCCUUGUAAGUGACUUACCUGUGCUUUAGUUUCCUGAUACAGCUUUGGCACCUAAGCCUGCAGUUUUGCUGUAAGUUUGUGGCAGAGAGCUCAGCUCUCCCUCCCAGUUCUUGAAGCAGCUUGUGGGCCAAUAGCACAGGGUAGAAACCCCAAGGAAGAAGGAGGCUGGAAAUGCUUAGAGACUCCUCCUUUUAUCUCACCUAAGUCACACGCGUUUACUUGUUUCACAUUAGUUUCGAAGUCCUGCGUAAUCGGUUCACUCUCCACUGUGCGGGGUGUGAUCAUCUGAGGAGGAAAAAGUGAGGACAGAGAAAUGCACUGAGCAUUAUUUCCCACCUAUUUCGUGCUCUCUUUGGGGUGGCUUGAUCCCCACUGGGCCAGCCAGCAGGAGGCCACAGAGGGACAGGGUCUGGGACACCCAGAACCCACAGUCUGGUGUUCAAAUCUUUGAAGCACAUCAGAGCAAUUUUCAAGUCUGCUUUUCUGAAAAUUUGCAAUGCGUACACUCUAGCUGCAACUUAAAAAGAACAAGAAAUAGAAAAGGAAAGGGGACGGAAGGAAAACGGAAAGGAGGUGUGUGCAUUGGGCUCCUGGGAAACAGAGCUACAGUGUCCUGAGAUAAAUUUACAGACACUGGAGCUGUGCAGGGGCCUUCCUGAAGCUGCUGGUGUGCAGAAGGGUUGUGUCUUCUUGUUCUAGGAUCUUGGGGAAGAAAGAGAUUCACAGUGGGGAACAGAGUGAGGUCACACAGCCUCCCCACCUUUUAUGAACACUUUGUCCUGUUGGGGUGUUUCCAGUACCCUCCUCACAUGGUCCCAGGGUGCCGGAGGGACACUGUGGACUGAGGGUGUCUGUGCUCUUGAAGCUGGGUGUAGGGGAUGUGAAGGAAGAAAGGGGGUUGAGGAGAGAGAAAAGAGGGAAAGGAGGAGGGGGAAAGGACAGAGAGAGAUGAAAGAAAGGGAGAGGAAGGGGGAGAGGGAAAGGCAGAGGCCAGGUGGGGUGGGGAGGGGAGAAAGGGUCAGUUAGAGGUGGGAGGGGCAAGAGGCAGAGAGAGAAAGUGCACUUUCUAGCAGAUAAACACAAAGCUCUGAGCUUUGGGGGUAUCUCCUUAUUCCUCAGGCAGCUCGCCCUACUCUGCCUGACCUGGCAUCUGCUUUGCUAUCUGAACCAAGCUCCUCAGCAACUGAGUUGAGAUUGUCACCGGGGUUUUUUAAAUACCUGUUGUCUCUGGCGCCCUUUCCACCCACCCCACCUGACAGUGCUCCACUUCUCCUCUAUGCAACAGGCACUUAUCUGUGGAUGGCCAGCACCAUGCUAGGCCCCAGGUAUAGUUCCCGGAGCAGAGAACCUCUGUUUCUGACCCCAGGGAAAGUAUGGGGACCAUUCUAAUGUUCCAUCUAACUCCUCUUCCAUGGGAUUAUGAGCACUGUCUACCUAGCUUGAGUUAUUGAGAGACUAGAAUAUUCUUAAGCAGAGAAAAUACAUAAUCACCCCCACGGACCCAACCCCAGCUCUCAGUUUUCAGUUCAAAACCAAAUUUGUUUCAUCUUCUCUUGUAUUUCCCCACUCCACCUGCACCCCUAGAGGAUCCUGAAGCAAAUCCCAGAUAACUCACCAUUUAUAAAUACCUUGGAGAGUAUUUUUAAAUGAUAAAGAUUCUAAAAAAUUACAAUCGGAGGAUAGUUCAUCUAAAAUGGGCAAUAAUUCCUCAGUGUCAUUUAAUAUUUAAUCUAUAGUCACAUUUUUCUGAUUGCCUCUUAAUUUUUAAUCUGUACAUUAUUUCCCAUAUAACUUUCUCUUUUCCUCUCUCUCUCUCUCUCUCUCUUUCAGAGUUAUUUCUUUUAGUUUCCUACAGGCUGGGUUUUGCUGAUGCAAUUCUUAUGGUGUCCUUUAACUCUACUUCUGGCUCUUGUAUUUGAAGAGCUAUAUGCUGGUGAGGUGUGUGUGUGUGUGCGCGCGUGCAUGUGUGUGUGUGUGUGUGUGUACACAUACACACAUGCAGAUCUGCUUCAUAGGUAGUGUGUAUUUUCAUCAGGAAGUGCACAAGGCCUGUCUUUCUCUCUUUGUGUGUUGUUACUAGUCAUUGGAAGUCAUUUCCUAUGACUCAUUCAUUGGGGAAAUUGUAAAAAUGAUGAUGUUUUAAUAUUUUCCAUCAUUUUUUUUUUCAUCUUUUAGCUGGAAUACUCUUCCCUUAGCCAUUCUGGUUGCCCUUAGGUUCAGAUUAUACAGAAAAUGAGGGACACGUCCUUGGUUUGCCAGUUCAGAAAUGAAGAAAGAUCUGGCUCCAUAACACCUUCCAAAGGUAAUAAAUAAGCUGUGAAUGCCACAGAGGACUUGGUACUCUGUGAACUCAGGGACUUAAGUUACUUGAUCAGUUUCAGUCCCCUGCAGUUUUCAUCCUUAAUAGAGAUGUUUAACUUGUUCCAUCAUUGGCCAGUGAGAACAUUUAUAGGCUUAGCUCCAACUCUUUUGGUACCACCAGAGUAGACUUUGAUAUCUCCCUUUCUUUCUGGUAUGAGGAAUAUAGUUUAAUUUUCUGCCCCAGACCCACAAUUAACCAUUUCUCCAAGGAUUUCUGGUUGCUUUUUGUGGAGAUGAUCAUCUGAAUACUGAGAGUGCUAAUUACCCCAGGAAGGUCAUUGUUUCUAGGUCUUUUCUGUGGACAGAGCUAGAGAAUAUGCAUUUUUAAAACUAAAGGUGAAGCUCAUCAUCAAAUAUUCUUCUGAUACUUCCAUCCAAGCCUGGGAUUACAGGGAUGGGCCUGAACUUCAUGGGUCUUAUACCACAUCUCCUUUCAAUCACAGCGAAAAGUUCUCAAAGAUACCAGCACAGUCACUCAUCAGAACUGUCCCACAACACCGGGACAACAAUCUCACCCAUAUGACCAUCAGCAACAUGAUUACAGUCCCUGAAUUCAUGGCUCAAGGAAUUCCUGCCUCAGCCUCCAGAGUGAAAUAGCCUGGACUACAGGGCACACCACCGCCCCUGGCUAUUUGCGGUUCUUUCUGUCCUUAGGAACUAUCCACUGAGAGUGUACAGUCUCACUCUAGGGCUUUUCAAUCACCUGCCAUUGCUCUUGGGGUAAGGGUAUACACUGGGGGCAAUCACUUUCCUCCUCCUUCCAGCUUUUAGGAAUUGCCUUUUGAUUUAACUUUUUCUCAUCAUUAUAUAAAAUAUUUACUGGUUCCAAAAUAAACUCUAUAAAACUUGUUGUAGGGCUGGGGAUGUACUCAGUGGUAUAGCACUAGUAUACAUGUUUGAGGCUCUGUUUCACCCCCAGCAACACACACACACACACACACACACACAGUCUCCAAAACUUGGCAUAUGAAAAAAGUCUACCUUUUAUCUCUGGAUCCUUUAGUUUAUUCUCUCCUUCCUUCUAGUGGUAAGCAUUUUAAAACUAUGACCUAUUCUUUCACUUUUAAAUGCAUAUAUAUAACAUAUAUAUGUAAUAUAUAUGUAAUGUAUAUAUGUAAUAUAUAUGUAAUAUGUAUGUAUAUAUAAUAUAUAUACAUAUAUAUGUAUUUGUAUAUAUAUAUAUAUAUGAGAUCUAGAUUGAGAUAUAAUUUGUAUACCAUCAAAUACAUCUUUUUAAAACUAUGUAUGUGCCUUGUUUUCUUAGAUAAAGCAGUGGCAUAUAAUAAGCACUUUCCUCUACUUUGCUUUUUGCACUAGUAGUAAGUCCUAAAGAGCCUUCCCUGCUAGUAUCUAGAGACUAUCCUCAUUUAUUAGCACAGUUACAUUGCAUAAACGUGUCAUCAUUUAUACCAUUAGUACCCUAUUGAUGGACAUUUGGAUCAUUUUCAGAUUUUUGCUUUUACAAAAGAUGCAUGUAUUUCUUUUCUGAUUUUGGCCAGCUUACCUUUGGGAUAGAGCCGUAGAAAGGAAAUUGCUGAGUCAAAGGUAAAUGAACAUACAAUUUUCUAGACAUUGUCCAAUCUCCUCCCACCAAAAAUGUCUGAGAGACCUGUUUCCUCACAGCCUGGUCAGCACUGUAUGUUCUCAGCUUCUGCAAUUUUGCUAUGCAGCUGACAGCAACUGUCUCCAUGUAGUUUUACUUUGGGUUUAUCUGCAGAUGCAUGGAGUUGGGAACAUUAUCAUGUGGUUAAGAACUACUUACAGUUCUUUUCUUGAGAAUUGCGUUUUAAUUUCUCAUUCAUUUUCCCCAGAGGUUGUAAAGCCCUCUGCAAUAUGAGUGUAAGCAUUUCCCCUAAAUUAUCUUUUAUGUUUUUUUUACUUUGUAGGGCCUAUAAAAAGGCAAAAAGGAUUUUUGUUGUUGUUUCACAUAAGCAAAUUUAUCAGUCUCUCAUUACUUCCACUUUUGAAACAUAGACAGACUUCCCCUAUUUCUAGUUUAUGGAUUUGACAUGGAUCCUUUACAGUGUACUAAAUUCCCAUAUGAAAUUUGGUCCAUUCUUGGAUCUUCUAUUCUGUUCCAUUGAUCUGUCUCUUAAUUCUCAGGACAUGAAGCUGUUUUAAUUAUAAAAGAUUUAUUAUACACUCUAUUGCCAAGAAAGACUAUCUCUUCUCCUCAUCUUUCUUUCCCAUGAUUGUCCUAGUUAUUCAUGUUUGUGCACAGAACUUUCUACAAGUUUUAGAAGUUACCCGGUUUCAAUCAGUGUAUCUUGUACCUUGUUUGGAUCCUCAUUCAAAUAAGGCAAAUAAUAUUUUUUAAAGGUUUGUAUAAAGGCCAAAGAAAUGCUCCUAUAUGCAUUUGAUGAAAUUAAACAAUUUUCUUUUUUGUGUUUGAUAAGACAGAUAAUAAAGUGGCCACAAAUUACAUUUUACAUUUGCUUCCAAGUAAUCCUGGUGGUAGGUGGAGCGGGAAGAUGUAGAGGAAACAAAUGAGCCCUAAGUUGAUCAUUGUCGAAGCUCAGUUAUGGGUCUCUGGGACUCAUUUCAUCAUUCUAUUUAUUUUAUGUAUGUUUAAAAUUCCCCCUAAUAAAAAGCUUAAAAAAGGGGAAAUGAUAUUCAAGUUCUAAAGUGUUUGAAAUAUGGAGCAAUAUAAGAGUUUUCUUAUCAUAUUUAGCAAAAUGGGGAUAUUUCGAAUAAAGAAAAUUGUCAUCAGAAGAAGCUACGACAGAAAGAAAUACUCACCCUGGUGUCCCAGCACCAGCUUGGCUCGGUGCCAGGGGAAUUUGCUGAUCCUUUUCUCCAUUAAACAUUUACCUGGUGCUGAACUAUAUCCUUUACUGGAAUUUAAAGGUCCACUAUAGGUGUGCCCAGAUUUAUAAGCCAGAUGAGUUCCUGAAAAGCUGGGUUUAAAUUUUUAUAUUUUGUAAUUGUUAACCAACCAUGUUGCUCAAUGUAUAUUUCUGGUGGUCCUUGAAAUUUCUUAAGUGUUCCAAAAGGAUAAAACCAAUACGAUAUCGUAAAUGUCAUUUUUACAGAGUUUCUUUUUUUUUUAAGCAAUGUAAUUUUUUGAAAGAAAAAAAAUGGCCUGGACUGUAUACAACAGACCAGUGCUUUCUCUACACCUUGGCACUUGGUAAAGUGAAUUUUGUUCAGUGCUUUAAAUUGGCACUCAAACCUGCACUUGACACCCUGGAUUUCAUAGUUUGGGGACUAGAAGGGUGAGCCUUUGCUCAACAGGCGAUGACAUUUUCCCAGUCCUUUAAAUUGUAAGAGAUUGUGUGAGGGGGGGAAAUGCAAAUGGAACUGGGUGGUUGGGGUUAGGGAAGAAGGGAAACAAUUAUAUAGCCUUCAAUUCCUUUUACAAUCAAUAGUGGGUAUAAGUGUUUCCUGUUAAAUAUUAAUAAAUACAACUAUUUUUUUUUUUUUGGUGGGAGGAAAGGCUGAGCACUGAGUAAACCAAGGAUAUAGAUGCCACGACCCAGAAAUUCGGCUCUUGAAGCAGACUUUAGGGAAACGUAUGCGAUGUAUGUCUGAACACGGUACAAAGUUGUGUGUCAACAAGAUUGUUCACGACAGCCAAAUACUGGAAAUAGCACAAAUGUCCAUUGACAGCUGGACAGAUCUGUCCAUUGUUGGAUAUUGACAUCUUGGAUAAUCACACAGCUAUAAAGAUGAACAAACCAUGGCUCAAUCCAACAAUGUGGGUGAAUGUCACAACAGUAAUGCUGGUGAAAAAAGUCUAGGCAAACAAGAAUACACACGUAUUAUUUAGAAACUGUAUUGCUAAAGGAUUAUACACAGGUGUUAAAUAAAACUACAACAGGCAUGGGGGGGAAAGGAAUGUUUAAACUCACACUCAGCUAUGAACAACCCAUCACCACAGAGGGCAGGAUGCUGGCUCUCACAGUGGAGAGGGGAACUGAAUGGGAAGGGAUCCCUAGAAGUAUCUGGGAUCUGGAAAUGUCAUUUAUUGGUCUGGUUGAUAAAUGCUCAGGGACACAUGAAAAUUAUUUUUAAACUGAAUAUUUGUUUAUAUGUACUUUUCCGGGUAUGUUUUAUUUCUCCAUUAAAAGGUUAAAAAUUUUAAGUUAGUGAAAGGGCUUUUAAAAAUUUAUGGGACACAUUUUCUCUUGGAUUGCCUAUAAAUGAAGAUGCAUCACUUGCCAAAUAGCUUCUGUGGAACUUUGUAAAGUCACUGAACUGCUGAAUCCCAUAGCUCAUGCUUACGUAAAGGACGUUGGAGAAAUGACAGAUGAGGGAAGUAAAGCAUCUGAUUGUUCUCACAGUGGUACUUUCUGCUGAAUUACCACUUUGAAAAUACACAUAUGUGUUUCUGGGUUAUGUAAUUAUUUGUAAAGGGAAAACUUAAAUGGAGAAAAUAAUAGCUCAUGGGGAGAGAUUGAGACAGAUUUUUUUUUAAAGUAUAAAAGAGAAUUUAUACUUAGAAUAAAAUACCCUUUGUACUUGGGUGUGUGUGUACGUAGGCAAGGCAAGGGGACUUUUCUGAGUAACGAGUUAAAGUGAAAUUACCAUUAUUGCAAGUUCAACCUUGAGAAAGCCUUAAGGCUUUGCCCUGCUCUAAGCAGCCCAGGGAGCCCUUUCAACCAUCAGAUUGUCCCUGCUACCAACCCCUGAACACUCAUUUAGGAUGCAUUACUAGAUUUUACAUUUAUUAACUAGUACCUAGCUUCUGCGUGAUGAAUCAUUAUAAAAGAUUUAUGUGUCUUGUACAUGGCACUGGGUUUGAGAAAUGAGAAUAAGUUGCAGAAACUCACUGGACAACUCCACAUAGGGAUUGGCUCUGAGGGAAGAGAAGGAAGGAUGGAAGUAGCUGAACGUUAUUGCAUGCCUGGUGCUAUAUGAGUUGCUCUGACACAUAAUCCCCACUAUCUUAUCAGCAGUAGCUCCUGCAAAGAGCGUGCAAACCCCCAAGGAUGGACAGUGGUUCCCAUCUGAUGGGGGAGGAAACCAGGAUCUUGGGAAAAGUAGGGGGCACAACCAGGGCGAGUGAGAGUUACUACAGAAAAUGGCAACUGGAAUUGGGAUAAGAGGCCAAGAUAUAAAGAAAAUCUAGUUGCUUUGAUUAAUAUACUAAUUAUAAUUAAGGCUAAGCCCUGAGCCUAAGAAAAUAAAUAUCCAAAAUAUGAUCUGCUACAGUCUACCUGAUUUUUAUAAUAUUUGGUCAUAAUAAUCAGGUGUGUGGUACAGUAGUCCUCCUUAUCCUCAGUUCCCACUUUUUGCAGUGUCAGUUACCUGUACCCAACAGGGAUCUGAAAAUAAUAUUUUUACAUGUAUUACAUGUAUUACAUUAAUAUAUUAAUAUAUUACAUGGAAAGACUCCAAAAAUAAACACUUGUGAAGUUUUAAAUAGCUUUACUAUAUUGUUACAGUUAUUCUAUCUUAUUAUUGUUGUUGUUAAUCACUUACUAUGUCUAAUUUAUAAAUUGAACUUUAUCAUAGGUAUGUGUGGGGGAAAAAACAUAGUACAUGUGGUGUACCUCUACUUACAGUUUGAAGCAUCCCCUGAGGGUCUUGGAACACGUCACCUGUGGAUAAAGGGGACUAUUGCAUUGGUGGAGGAAUAGAUACCUAGAUUAGUGGAACAAAAUAACUCAGAAACAGACCUAUGCAAAUAUGCUUAAUUGGAUUUUGAAAAAGGUGCAAAGGCAACUCAGUGGAAGAAGGAUUCCCAUUGGGGGGGGGGGGGAGAUUCUAGGGCUGGAGAUGUUUAGCCCUUGCCUGACACACACUGAGGUCCUGGGUUCCACCUCCAACACGGCAAUUAAAAAAAAAUGGUGCUGGACAUAAAAGGAAACAAAAUGAACAAACAAAAAAAACUUGACUGAGACUAAUCCACAAAGUUACAACUAUCUUAUAUUUGAUAAAGGGGCUCAAAGCAUGCAAUGGAGGAAGGAUAGCAUCUUCAACAAAUGGUGCUGGGAAAACUGGAAAUCCAUAUGCAACAACAUGAAACUGAAUCCCCUCCUCUCUCCAUGCACAAAAGUUAACUCAAAGUGGAUCAAGGAGCUUGAUAUCAAAUCAGAGACUCUGCGUCUGAUAGAAGAAAAAGUUGGCUCCGAUCUACAUAUUGUGGGGUCGGGCUCCAAAUUCCUCAAUAGGACACCCAUAGCACAAGAGUUAAUAACAAGAAUCAACAAAUGGGACUUACUUAAACUAAAAAGUUUUUUCUCAGCAAGAGAAACAAUAAGAGAGGUAAAUAGGGAGCCUACAUCCUGGGAACAAAUUUUUACUCCUCACACUUCAGAUAGAGCCCUAAUAUCCAGAGUAUACAAAGAACUCAAAAAAUUAAACAAUAAGAUAACAAAUAACCCAAUCAACAAAUGGGCCAAGGACCUGAACAGACACUUCUCAGAGGAGGACAUACAAUCAAUCAACAAGUACAUGAAAAAAUGCUCACCAUCUCUAGCAGUCAGAGAAAUGCAAAUCAAAACCACCCUAAGAUACCAUCUCACUCCAGUAAGAUUGGCAGCCAUUAUGAAGUCAAACAACAACAAGUGCUGGCGAGGAUGUGGGGAAAAGGGUACACUUGUACAUUGCUGGUGGGACUGCAAAUUGGUGCGGCCAAUUUGGAAAGCAGUAUGGAGAUUCCUGGGAAAGCUGGGAAUGGAACCACCAUUUGACCCAGCUAUUGCCCUUCUCGGACUAUUCCCUGAAGACCUUAAAAGAGCGUACUACAGGGAUACUGCCACAUCGAUGUUCAUAGCAGCACAAUUCACAAUAGCUAGACUGUGGAACCAACCUAGAUGCCCUUCAAUAGAUGAAUGGAUAAAAAAAAAUGUGGCAUUUAUACACAAUGGAGUAUUACUCUGCACUAAAAAAUGACAAAAUCAUGGAAUUUGCAGGGAAAUGGAUGGCAUUAGAGCAGAUUAUGCUAAGUGAAGCUAGCCAAUCCCUAAAAAACAAAUGCCAAAUGUCUUCUUUGAUAUAAGGAGAGCAACUAAGAACAGAGCAGGGAGGAAGAGCAGGAGGAAAAGAUUAACAUUAAACAGAGACAUGAGGUGGGAGGGAAAGGGAGAGAAAAGGGAAAUUGCAUGGAAAUGGAAGGAGACCCUCAUUGUUAUACAAAAUUACAUAUAAGAGGUUGUGAGGGGAAUGAGGGAAAAAACAAGGAGAGAAAUGAAUUACAGUAGAUGGGGUAGAGAGAGAAGAUGGGAGGGGAGGGGAGGGGGGAUAGUAGAGGAUAGGAAAGGUAGCAGAAUACAACAGUUACUAAUAGGGCAUUAUGUAAAAAUGUAGAUGUGUAACCGAUGUGAUUCUGCAAUCUGUAUUUGGGGUAAAAAUGGGAGUUCAUAACCCACUUGAAUCUAAUGUAUGAAAUAUGAUAUGUCAAGAGCUUUGUAAUGUUUUGAACAACCAAUAAAAAAANUAUAUUCCAAAAUGACCAAACUGUGAAAAGAGUAGCAUUGCUUUUCAUUUCUGCAAAUGUCUUGCUUUCUAGUUUACAAAUCUCUUUAACAGAUGGGUUCUCAGGCCUGUCCUGCUUUGAUCCACAGGACUAGGUUGUGGGGUUGAAAUAUACAUACGUCUAUAUGUGUACAUGCGCAUAUAUACCUAUGUAUGUUUAGUAUACGUUUGUGUGUAUUUAUAGGUAUGAAAAAAAAAACAAAACCAGCAUUACACAGAUGCCAUAAAAGUGUCUGUAGCCCCUAAGGAUCCUUGAACCCCACUUUAGGAACUGCUAAUCAGGUGAAUUUCCUCAGAUCUAGAUCAAGUUCUUCUUUCCUCAAAGUUGUAGAAGGCACUCAAGGCUGGACGUUUUGAAUGGAUCAUUUUGGAAAAAUCUAGGGAAUAAUCAACAGAGAGUAGCAUAAUGGAGGAAAAGAGUGUCCCCGAAAAGCAUUUGUGGGGAGACGGUGAUUUCUGGUUUCUCUUCGAAAAUAGACUCUGUCUGCGCUCAGGAGGCCCCAGCGUUUGGAGAGACCCAAGGAGACUGCGGGAUAAAGCUGGGAGGCCGCCCAGGUGAUGGGGUCCUGUCUACCAGAGCUUUCCUUCUAAGGAGGUUAGUCCUGCUUCCCCUCCUCUUUAUUUCACUGUCUGCAGGCCACCUCUUGGCUCUCAUGGUAAUGUGAUUAGCUGGCCUGUGGCCCACACCGAGACCACUGUCACAAAGAUCUCUGCUUCCUUGAGUGCACCUCUCCCCUGAAUGCCACAUCUUGUGUUUAUAGUCACAGGGGGCAUUGUUAACUCUGGGAUUCAAAUAGAAUGGGAUAUUUACGACACCCUCCCACCUCCCCCACCCCCAUAAAAGUUGAUUCAGGGAGACAUUUAGGGAAGAAAUAGACAGAAGACAGAUGUGUUGCCUUCCCCAGAUGCUGAGGAGCCUCAAUUGUUCUGCUUAUGUAAUGACUUUUUAUGGCUCCUCGCAAAUGCCUCUUUUGACUUUUAAAAAGGUGCCAAAGUCAAAUAUAGGUAGUUACCCAGAAUGUUUUAGUAAUCUCUCCGGACACGCCAGCUGGCUCAAAAUCCCGGAUCGGAGGAUAUGUAAUAAGCAAACAUCCCUUUCCGAUUUCAUGGACAUAGCUGGUUUCCUCGUGUUUACACGUACGACUGUCCAUCUUCCUACAAAAAGGGAUAGAGUCUUAUUUGGACAACAAACCCCUUUCCAUAAACCCUUAAUGAUUCAAUAAUUGUUUUAAAGGCAAUUUAUAUAAUUACAACAAGAAGAAAAUGAAAUUAAUGGAGAAUGUGGACCCCUACUUCUUUUCCUUUAAUGCAAAUCAAUAUAUCCAGUUAUCUCUGCAGGACAUAUUUGAUUUUAGUGAUUUUUAUAAUUUAGAUUAAGCUAAACAGGAAAAUGCCCAGGAUAGGGAGGGUUUUCCUGUCAGCAAUGUUGGAUUUUUGCCAGGCAUUGGCUCUGCUCUUCUCACUUCAAAGAUGGUUUGUUUAAUACUUUAACUCACUCGAUUGAUGUCAGCAUGUGGGUCAGCAACCUGCACUUUAGCAUGGACUUAGGAGGGAUGGUAGGGGAAUAUUGGGUGCUCCAAAGACUUGCCCCCACUGCUAUUUCUCUUAUUCAGAACCAGGCACUGAGAAGCAAAUCGAAGAUUGAUAGAAAAAUGCCAAGAGGGCAGACGACCCGAACAGCUGCAUCCCAAGCAAAGAAAUCCAUCUCCACUUACAAGGACCAGUUCCAAUGUCUUCUCACCUCUGAACAGUAAAGUUUAACAAACAGCUCUUUGGGGAGAAAAAAAUAAGCCCUGAUUUGUAGCGUUGGCCAUUCCUAUGUAAACACUGGCACUGGGCUGACUUCAAGCCACCAGUGUGAUAUCACUAUACCUGGAGUUGGGAAGGGGUGUUCCCCACCCUGCUCUUGCCCACCACAGGCUAGCUCUACACACCUCUGCUUGUGCUUCCACCUCUUUUUAUGAGUUAGAUGUCCACAUGCUUGUCUCUGCCGGGAAACUGGAAGUGUCAGACAGGCAGAGAGUGGUUUCAAGUCAUUGCAUCAUUUAUAGUGCCAGGCACAAGAAUCCCACAAUAAAAAAAAUCCCCUGUAAAUGGUCACCCAUCAAAUCAUUGGUACUAUUUUUAUUAUUGCAGUUGUUAUUGUUUAAUUAAAAGACACUCUUAUAAGAGCUUUGCUAGUAUUGUCUCACUUGGUGAUGGUGAACAUAAGAACAUAUUAGAGAGCUUUAAUGUAUGUGUUGAAAGAAUAAAAGAAUAAAAAGAAUAAAAGAAUGCCCAAUUGGACUCGAUAUCGAGAAACCAGGAAAGACUGUUUCUGUAUUUUCUCACCCUAUCUCCUCUUGCUCUUCCCCAUGCCACAGAAAACUUCUUCCUCCUCAUUCCCUCUCCUCUUCCCACACCAUUCCACCCCUCCACUCCCUAUUAGUUAUGCAUAUAAGCAAAUAUUUACAAAUGAUCCUCAAUUGUGAGAGUGGUAAAAUUCUUCUUUAUCUCACCUGCAAUCAUCAAUGUCUCUUCCCUGAAAAAACA
RNAcentral lists this long non-coding RNA (59626 nucleotides) under Marmota monax (woodchuck). The record is from RNAcentral. Lineage: Eukaryota; Metazoa; Chordata; Mammalia; Rodentia; Sciuridae.